RNAcentral lists this long non-coding RNA (69250 nucleotides) under Vitis vinifera (wine grape). Its description in RNAcentral is "long non-coding RNA (VVIN_LNC001392)". The record is from RNAcentral. Lineage: Eukaryota; Viridiplantae; Streptophyta; Magnoliopsida; Vitales; Vitaceae.
UAAUGUGGUGGCUUCUCUCCCUUAGGUGGCUUGCCAACUGGGGUUGGUGGCUUGUGUUCAGGAAGUGGUUUCUCUCCCAUGGGAGGUUUAGCAAUUGGGGUUGGUGGCUUGUGUUCUGGGAGUGGCUUCUCUCCCUUGGGAGGUUUAGUAGGUGACUUGUGUUCUGGAGGUGGCUUCUCCACCGGAGGCUUGUGCUCCGGUGGUGGCUUCUUGGUUGGAGGGGGCUUGGGGUAAUCAGCAAGAGAUGGGGUGGUGAGAACCACCAGUCCAAGGAACAACACUAGCAAGUAUGUGGGAGACAUUUUUGAGUUUGGGCUGAUCAGAUGAUGCAAAACUAAAGCAUUACGUGACCUUUUAUAGCAUGUAGCUCCCAAUACCCACUAAGUAUUGUGGGGUCCAUUUGUGCCCUACGGGGUUGAAAACUUAGACAAUUGGGCAAGGACCCACCUGACUAUGGAGGACUAGUGAGGUGUGAUCAUAGCUUUAGGAUUUUUCUUCCUCUGCAGCCGUCGUGCCGUUGGCAUGAUUUUCUUAAUCUUAAAUAAAGGCAUAGUUAUAGAGUUGUUUAAUCUCUAAAUGGGAUUUUAUAUAUAUCUUCAGAUAGCCAUUAAUAUAUUUGAUGAAGAAAGAAAGACAAGUGCAUACAACAUGUAUACGACUAGCUUUCAUGGAGUUCAUUUAUGAUCAGUUUUCCUGUACAUGUAAACCAGGAUCAUAUAUAUGUUUCUGUUCCACAACUAUUUUGGAAUCUUGUUUAUCAGUUUUUAUCAUUAUAAUGUCACAUAGGCUGCCAACUUGGGCGCUAAAAGAACCAGUUGGGCUAGUUCGUUUCAGAAUUUCAAUGUGGAUUCAGGAAUUGUUUUGUAAGAUAUGCGAAAUAGUAGAGGGAUGAAUAGUGUUUCAUUAAUAAAAGUGUCCUGUAAAUUAGAAGGUGUCAUAGAAACUAUAAUCAAUAAAUAACUUUUUUUCCCCACGGGUGGUGUUUCUUGUGGGGAUCAGUGACUGGUUUAGGUUCACCCAAAAUGAGUUCAGACUAAAAUUGGUUUGAGUCAAUGCCGUGUCUCUUUUUUCCAGAAAUCAACUAUUUUAUGCAUUGAAUAAAUCAUACAAAGAAAAUAUGAACGCCCGCAAAACCUAAACCCUGGUUGCUAACUUUCUAUGUUUCAGUUCUAUUCACGCAAGAAUAUUAGUUUAAGUUUGGGAAAAAUGGCAACUUACCUAGUGAUUACUUGGUUUUGGUUUGCGACUAUUUACGCAACCAACCAUGAGUUUGACUUUAACGUCAUGGGUUGAAGCCUCCUACAGGAAGGGAGAAAGCUCCACAGCUAGCUCCAAAAGAGAAUUAUCACAUUGAUAGCUCCAGAGAUUCCCAAGGGGACUGAAUCAAAGACAAGUUCCUCACUUUUUCUUCUUUUGAGGCCAAAUAUGAACCAAGGAUCACACAACCUCAUUCAACUUCAUAAGUUUGAUUUCAUGCAGUUGAACACUGGGUGAAGGCCAUGACAAGAAUUGAUUCAAAAAUUCUAUCACUCUUUUAAGUAAUGGAAGAUUAUUAUCUCUGAUUGGCAUCACAACAGCACAUGCUCCUAGAUCUUUCUAGACACUCCAUGCAAUGAAAGCACAAUGGAUCUUGUAACGAUAGAAACUAAGCCAUGCUACAGUACUAGAUGAUGAGGUAAAACUAGUAGACACGGGUGGCAGCCUAUAUGGGAGGGACACAAGUCUAAUUGAUUUGCAUUUCAGCAUUAUAGAUAGGUAUGUUUUGGAAGAUUUGUUCUGGAAAUACCGCACCAAGUAGGAUUCUUUUUCUCUUUAGUGGGUCCACUUGCAUGCCAAUUAACGAGUUGAAAAGUAUGAGCACCUACCUCGUGCUCGUGGAACCGAAGGUCAGUGAAGUGGGGCUCCUUUUGGCCUCGUGUAAACUUGAUUCAGAAGUGAAGUUAAUAGUCUUCCAUUCAGAUGGAUACAUGGGAAUUUUUCUCUUUUAUUUAUUUAUUUAUUUUUUUUUUGUGUGUGUAUGUCAAAGGAUAAUGAAUGAAGCGCGUUAGCUUGUUUUCUGACUGGAACCGCAGAUGUCCAAAUUGGAGUUCCUUCAUUUCUUACUUAGGAUUGUUACAUGUAUAAACAAGGUAUAAGAAAUAUGCCAACGUGUCUUGAGGAGUUAUUGAUUAGAAAUAACAAGUCACCCGACUGUAGAGUUCCAAGAUUUGAAUCUUCAGACCCUAUAGCAGCCUCUGGGGUACGUGGCAUCCUAUAGCAUAUUAAUGAAGGCUUUUUCGAUUUAGACUUCACAAUACCAAUUAAUAUGUAUGCACAAAAUGGAGAUGACCCCAAAAAAAACAGAAUCGCCAUAGUUUAUGAGGUUAAGGUGAUUCUCCACUUAAUAUCUACAUUAGCUAAUUAUGUAAAUCAAAUGAACUUCUAUUUUUCCUUUUUUUUUUUGGUUUAUGUCAAAUAGUAGCCCAUAAUUAACCCAACCAUUAGCCUGUUUGAAUUGAUUUCACAUGCACAAUGUUGUAGUAGUUCAUAUUUUGAAUUUUAUUUUUACAAAGGUAGUUAAGGAAAAUGAAGUAUAAUAAUUAUAAAAGCAGACUAUAUACACUACAAUAAUUGUUAGAAUGGUAUCUCAAAUUCUAAUUUAAAAUAUUAUUUUUUGUAAAAGAAAUAUUAUAUAGAAUAUUUCCUAAUUUUAUAAAUGAUUAUAAUUAGAUCUUUAUAAAAUAAGGAAAGUUGGUAAGAAUAUCUUUAUAAAUAUUUUAGGUCAUGAGAGAAAGAAAUGGGAUAAAAAUGUGAUGAAGAGGUGAAAUAAGAGAGUUGAUUAGGAUAUAGAUGUGAAGAAGAAAGGGAUUCAAUAUAUAUAUAUCUUUCAAUUACCACAUUAAAACCCUGUGAACCUUUUAUAUGGUUUACUUUAUUUUUAUAUUCCUCCUUUAAUAUAUUUACAUUAAUGCUUCCAUUGGCACAACAAUAACGAAUUACAAAUACAAGCAACAAGUCCCAUGUUUUAUUACCAAAAGCAGGUAAAAUCCACCUAAUAUAUUACAAUAUAUUCAUCCAAUAUUUUAGACCAAUUCUUCACCAUAAAUAUCAUAAUGUGGCUUUUGUUCUUUCUUAAAUUUAAAUUGAAUUGUCUUAUAUCAAUUUGUUUGUGAUUUUUUCAUUAACUUCACUUUCAUUUGGUUAUCUUUGGUUUUUGAAAAGUAUUAAGGAAUUAAUUAACAAAAUAAUGUUAAGAAAAAUAAUUUUCUCUCUUUUGAUUUUGAUUUUGUAGUAGAAAAAUAUAAUUAAAAUUAUUUAAAAAGUAUGUAAUUUUAAAUUAUUUAAUAUUUAGAUAAAAAAAAUAAGUCUAAUGAGUUUAAAAUAACAUAUAAAAAUAAUUUAUUUAUUUUAAAUUUAUUUUUUAUUUUCCAUUAUGUUCUCUUUCUCUUUUACUUUUUCAUAUUUUUUCUUACGAAGAAUCAAACACAACCUCAUAUUAUAUGUCAAGUGUUUGUCUAUAUUUGAGCAAUGUUAGAUACGGCCAUGGAUUCAUCAAACUAAACUGAUUUUAAUAGAUACUUCACAAAUUGAUUUAUACACUAAAUCAUUGGAUAGCAAUGAUGCAUUGGAAUUAAACGUAGGAUGAAGCUCGAAGAACACUGUUUGUGUAACAACAUAUUUAUGAAAUUAUGCAAAGGAUGAGCUUCGGGGUAGUAGUACAAGGUCAUUAAUGGAGAGCCGUGUUAAACCUUGAUUGUGAUUGGAUUCCGUUAUCAGCAACAGCAACCUUGUUUGUAACCUUGAAAGUCAUUCUGUCCACAUCGAAACUCCAAUUUGACGUUUGUAAUUACCAUUCCUGGAGUGUUCCUUGAUUGAAAUUUAAAUAAUAAUUGCGGCCCACAAGGAAUAUUUUCGAUUCUGUGGGAAUUUGACAAGGUUUGUUAGAGAAGACUGGUGACAUGUUGACUUCAAUGGUUCAAAUAGGAGACGUAUGUGGAUUUGGGGGGUUUAAUUGAAACUGAGUCCCUAUGGCUUUUUAAUAUUUGCAUUGAGCAGUCUCCAUGUGACUUCCUAAUUCCCACCAACCCUCCUGUCCAUGCUGUGAAACUAAAUUGUAAUUUAUCAGCCUUUGUCAAUGGUUUCUAAAUUAAAGAUAUAGACCAUGCAUGUACUUUAAUAAAAGCAAAUCUAAAGUGUAGAUAGCAGCAAUGGUGACACCCAAUAUUCUCCAUAAAAUAGAAUUAGAAUAAGCAGUGUUACAUUGUUCAUGAUCACCUACAAGCAUACAAGAACUUCCAUGAAUAACUCAUAGCAAUUGCCAACAGGGCGUCGUAGAGACUCAUACAUAGAACACUAUCCACCCAGAGGAAAGGACAAGACCAGUGCGCUGCAGCUCUUAUUUUUCACAUGUAUACCACCACUCGUAAUAACCAAAUUCACUCAGUUGGGAUAGGUGGGAGAUGGUGGUUUGUGGGGUGGCUUGUGGGGAGGAGUUGGAGGAGGCUUUAUUUUCUGAGGCGGCUUGUAUGAGUGUGCAGGAGGAUGCCCGGGAGUGUGACCAUAAUGUGGUGGCUUCUCUCCCGUAGGUGGUUUGCCAAAUGGGCUUGGUGGCUUCUCUCCCUUAGGAGGUUUACCAAUUGGGGUUGGUGGCUUGUGUUCUGGGAGUGGUUUCUCUCCCUUGGUAGGUUUGCCAAUUGGGGUUGGCGGCUUAUGUUCUGGGAGUGGCUUCUCUCCCUUGGGAGGUUUGCUAAUUGGGGUUGGCGGCUUAUGUUCUGGGGGCGGCUUCUCUCCCUUGGGAGGUUUGCCAAUUGGAGUUGGCGGCUUAUGUUCUGGGAGUGGCUUUUCUCCCUUGGGAGGCUUGCCAAUUGGGGUUGGCGGCUUAUGUUCUGGGGGUGGCUUCUCUCCUUUAGGAGGUUUGCCAAUUGGAGUCGGCGGCUUAUGUUCUGGAAGUGGCUUUUUUCCCUUGGGAGGUUUGCCAAUUGGGGUUGGCGGCUUAUGUUCUGGGGGUGGCUUCUCUCCCUUGGGAGGUUUGCCAAUUGGAGUCGGCGGCUUAUGUUCUGGGAGUGGCUUCUCUCCCUUGGGAGGUUUUGUUGGUGGCUUGUGUUCUGGAGAUGGCUUCUCCCCUGGAGGCUUGUGCUCCGGAGGUGGCUUCUGAAAUGGCGGGGGCUUGGGGUAAUGAGCAAGAGAUGGAGUACUGGUGAGAACCACCAUUCCAAGCAACAAUACUAGCAAGCAUGUGGGAGACAUCUUUGAGUAGUUGUAGCUAAGAUGGCGCAACACUGUAGGCAUUGGGUGGCCUUUUAUAAAGGGCUGGACCCAACAGCCAUAUGACACGUGUCAUGAUGACAAAUGAAGUUGAGGGGAUCCAGAUGGGUCCUACUGAGUCGAAAACUUGCACUAAUUGAUCUGGUGAGAUGACUAUUUCUGUCCUUUUGCCCUUCUCGGCCACCCUGUGCUGUUUUCCUUUUGCACGAUUUUCGUUGCCAAACAAGCAAAUAAUAUUUCGCCAAGAAAGAGGAGAGUGAAUGUGGAAUGCAUCAAGUCCCAUCAAGGAUGGCAGAGAAGAAAUAGAAGAUUGCCCAACUGUGAUAAACAUAGCAUACACGUAGCACCAGGAACUUCAUUUACUUCCAUCUAAUGGAACAUAACAAUCUUCUAAAGUUUUUGCAUGAUUUUGUUAUAUGUCUCUUAGCCUAAAGUUGGAAAUGCGCAACAAAUUUUGUCACUUCUCUAUUUCCCACUGAUGAUGUUAAUUAGCCUUCAUAGAUAUCAUCCUUUCUACAAAGUGCUUCAUUUGUGUGUUAUUGUAAAGUGUAAGAAAAGUAAUUGAACAUGUUCUUUUUCCUUUCAUAGAUGACUUUUGAUGUGCAUUUUAAAAGCAGCGCUGUGAGUCGGUGACCUUGAUUCACACGGAAACUAAGGCUCCUAUAGGACCCACUUUUAGCUGGUUAGGGGUGAAGAAAAUAUCAACUUUUCAGAGUGAUUUAAGUCAAGGCCAAGCCUCACUGUGUCAUUACUCGUGUGAAUUUUAUAUGCACAUACAUACAUAAAUAAAGUAUGAGACCCAAAUAACACCUUCCCUUUACAAACUUAACCCCAGCCGCUCUCUUUCAAUUCUUUUCACACAAGGGUAUUGACUCUAUAAAGGUCAAGAAAAUCAUAAUUUCCUAGGGUUUACAAGGUAAUUGGCUUAAUGCUAAUGUGAAAACAUAAAAGAUAAUAGUAUAUUGUAAGCUAACGAAUAUUCUAUAGUUAUAAUUAUUUGUGAUGUGCAUAAAUAAAUCUUCAUAUAUAUAAUGGAACAAUGAAUAAAGAACCAAUGAAAAAAUACUAUAUAUCAUUGCUUGGCAUUUAAACCGUAUAUGCUGCUCUUUCUAGCUACUCCAUCCACUGAAAGACAACAAGGUAAUCCAUGUUAUAAUGAUAGAAGAUACUGUCUCUAGGCUUUUUGUGAUGAAAAAUAUAAGAUAUGGGUAGGGUUGACCCUUGUAUGUUUGUCCUAUAAACACUUCAAAGUAACAUAUUUUUCUUCUUUAGCAACUCAUAAUGAUGGGGUUCAUUUGCAUGUCACUGAGUUGAAAAGUUGGACAAUUGCCCAUGUCGCCUUCCUCCUAGAUUCCGUAGUUCACGGGAAGGUAACUCAAGUUUGACAUAUUUUGAAUUCUUUUCACUCGGACGUCUUCAUAACCUGACAAAACAAAAAUGAAAAACAGAGGAUUGGUAUAUUAUUCAUGGUAAGCCUCAAAUUAUAGUAGUAUGAGAAAGGAGAAAAAGAUUUUGGGAACUCCAAUCUGGAUAAUUCUCGUUUCUUCUCUUGAAUAAAAAUUUCACUUACCUAACUUCGUUUGGAGAAAUGGCAUAUUUUAAUUUUGUACGUCAUUGCUAAUAAAUGGAGCAAUUUAGCAUGUUUUGUGACUGAAACUGCAAAUGUCCAAUUGGCAUUUCUUCAUUUCCCACUUAGGAUCUGAUCUUGUAGACCAUAUAACGAUAUGUAUCUGUGCAAGCAUUGAAAACUAAUGUGAACUAUGAGGAGUUACAAGCCACUGGACUGUAGAGCGAGUGCCAAGAUUUAAAUCUUCAGGCUCUAUCUGGGUAAGGGGAGGAUAGCGACCUAACCUUUUACCAAAGGCUUAGAAUUUAGACUUUUGGAAAAAAAUUUCUCAUGUUUUGGCUGGAUUUCUUGUGCUUGGCGCAAAAAGGAGAUGGCCUCAAGAAAUAGCAGACUCACUUUUGUUUUCAGCCCUUAAUAAUUCUCCACUGCUUUCCAUAACUACAUGGGUUAUACAUGCAGUCUGCUGCAAUAUUCCAGUUAUAUUUAUUAUUUCAAAGAGGGUGAAUGACUUCACAUGCAAUAUGUUGCAGUAACAACCCAAAUUUUGGCACACCAUCUUAAGAAUAGAAAAGUAUAAUAAAAGAAAUCAAUCAGAGAAUCACUUUGCAUGCAGUUCAUAGAGUUCGCCCAAAAUGGAGCCACAUGUACGGACAACCCCACAAUAGACAAUCUUCUCUAUACAGUAAUAAAAUACAGAAAUGGUUAAUGAAGCUCUGUAUUUCCUUAUCAUAUAUGACCGGUUGAAAACUCAGCAAGUCUUCCUCAAUCACAGACAGUUGGAGUUGCUUCAUCAAAAUCAUGCCUUCAUUACUGGCUUCAUUUUGGUUUCAAUGUCUGUUCUACCCUUAAAUUGGGUCUCUGCUUACUACCGGGAUAUCCUUUAGCGUCCUGCAAUUCUACUAGAUUAAAGAGAAUGACUUAAUUCUGCAUUCUGCCGUCCCUAGUCCAAGUGGUACUAGAAUUGAUGUUUCCUUUAGUGUCCUUUCUUCAUACUUUCAGGUUCUUCCCUUGUUUCAAUAAUGCUGUUUUCCUUCAUGUUUAACCUCUGUUGAACCACUUAAAACAACACAAUUUGCACACCAAUGUUUCUUUACAGAAAAGACUGUUUGCAAAAAUGCACAUGUUAUAAGGUUAAUGGAAGAAUUAAUUUGGGGAUAAGGGACUAGGAUUGGGCCAAUGAAGUUUGGUGUUAAAUUUUGAUUAUGAUUGCUUUUCAUUAUCAGGUACCUUAUAUUUGCUGAUGCUAUCUGGAACUAAAUUCAAAUCAGACAUUAUCCGAUUACUAACAGGACAUAUCAUGUCCCUCUGCAGAGUUUCUAAACUAACAUGUAUCGAAAUGUGGCCCCAAAAGGAAGGCUAGGAAGAUGGAGGAUUUUGUAGGAAUCGACCAGAAUCAGAUGGAAGAGAGAUAGUCCUGUUGACUUUAAUGGUUGUGAUAGGAACAUGCAUCAUUAUAUGAGAAGUUGCAUGAAUUUAUGUAUCCUGUUAUCGUUCCUUGACGAUUUCCCAAUGCAAUUUCACUGUCCACAAGACUAACCUCUCCAUGCAGUCAAAUGAAUUGUAAUUUCUCUAUUGGUACCAGUAGUACAUUUCAUACCAAACAUAUAGUAAAUAUAAAAUAUAAAUAGAUCAAGGAAAUCUGAAUUGUAGAUAGCACUGCAAGUAACACUCAAUAUUCUCUAUAUAUAAUAAAAUAAACAGUGUCACAAUACUCAUCACCCAGUGGCAAGGGAGAAAAACCUACAAUGAGUACUCAAAUCACCAUUCUCAAACAGAAACAUAGCAGUGACUGAUACAUAGAACCUAUAUGCUCACAGGGAAAGAAUAAGAUGACCAGUGCACAGCGGGCAGCAGCUCUUAUUUUACGUACAACUCAAAUCCCAAACUAACCAAAGUCGCUCAGUUGGGAUGGGUGGGAGAUGGUGGUUUGUGGGAUGGCUUCUGGGUAGGAGCUGGUGGCUUCUGUCCCUUUGGUGGUUUGCCUAAUGAGCUUGGUGGCUUGUGCUCCGGGAGUUGUUUCUCUCCCUCGAGUAGGUUUCGAGUCUUGUCAGAUGGCUUGUGUUCUGGUGGUGGCUUCUCUCCCUGGGGUGGUUUGCCGAAUGGGCUUGGUGGCUUGUGUUCGGGGAGUGGCUUCUCUCCCUGGAGAAGGUUACGAGUUUUGUCAUAUGGCUUUUGUUCUGGUGGUGGCUUCUCUCCCUGGGGUGGUUUGCCGAAUGGGCUUGGUGGCUUGUGUUCGGGGAGUGGCUUCUCUCCCUGGAGAAGGUUACGAGUUUUGUCAGAUGGCUUGUGUUCUGGUGGUGGCUUCUCUCCCUGGGGUGGUUUGCCGAAUGGGCUUGGUGGCUUGUGUUCGGGGAGUGGCUUCUCUCCCUGGAGAAGGUUACGAGUUUUGUCAGAUGGCUUUUGUUCUGGUGGCGGCUUCUCUCCCUGGGGUGGUUUGCCAAAUGGGCUUGGUGGCUUGUGUUCGGGAACUGGCUUCUCUCCCUUGGGAGGUUCAGUUGGUGGCUGCUGUUCCGUAGGUGGUUUCUUCACCGGCGGCUUGUGCUCCGGAAGCGGCUUCUCUACCUGGAGAAGCUUACGAGUUUUGUCCGAUGGCUUGUGUUGUGGUGGUGGCUUCUCUCCCUGGGGUGGUUUGCCAAAUGGAGUUGGUGGCUUGUGUUCGGGGAGUGGCUUCUCUCCAUUGGGAGGUUUAGUUGGUGAUUGGUGUUCCGUAGGUGGUUUCUGAAGUGGGGGAUGCUUGGGGUAGUCAGCAAGAGACGAGGUAGUGAGAACCACCAGUCCCAGCAGCAACACUAGCAAGCAUGUGGAAGACAUCUUUGAGUUCAGGCUGAGAUCUGUGCAAGGAUAACAGAAUUAGGUGGCCUUUUAUAGAGGCCUGGACCCAACACCCAUAUGACACGUGUCAUGCACUCAUGGUGACACAUAAUUCUAUGGGACCAUUUGGGUCCUACAGAAGUUGCAAAGUUGGACUACUGAGGUGUGAUCACAACUUUUGUCCUUAUUGCUUUCUCUGCGGCCAUUGCACGAUUUCCUUUAGCAUCAUUUUCUUGGCUAAAUAAGCGUAUUAUAUUUGUGGCAGACCGUCCACGUGUCAUAAACAGAUAUAUUAUAAUAAUGUAGUAUGCUUUUCUCCAAUGGAACAUGACACUCUUCUAAGUCUUGUUUUAAAUAUUGUGCAGGAUUACUUUAUACGUUGCAGUUCCAAGUCAAAAUUGGUGGGCAAACGUUGGCCUUUUUUCAUUUCACCUAAGAUUAAUGCUCACCUGGGAUAGGCACUACAUGACUUAUCUGCUCUUUUACUGUAAAGUUGCUUUGUGUAUGAGAUACACCUCCCCUGCACACCCUCAACAUUCGUUGCUCUGUUUUCCUUGUGUCCAGACGAGGAUAUUAAUUGGAGGCUGACAAAACGACUGCUAGCCCAGGAUUUACAAGGUCCUGGUUUGAGGCUUCGGUGAAAGUAUUUUUGAAAAGACACACAUAGAGAUAGUGCGUUUGGUGCAAUGCAGCACUGUGAGCCAUUCUGACGCGUUCUUAAUUUCAAAACUAAUGAAUGCUUCAAAAUUUUAAGAAGUGACAUUUCCAAAUAUUUGAGUUCGUUUAAUUGAACAUUGGAUAACUAGUGAUCAUAGAUUAUUAUCUGUGCUUGGCACUAUAAGAGGGUAUAUGCUUCUUUUUCUGGCCCCUCCUUCAAGGGAGGAGGGACAAUGUGAUCUGUAACGUUAGAAGCUAUUCCAUGUCAUCUUUGGGCUCAGUUCAAAACUAAAAGAUAAUGGGGGGGGGGGGGGGGGGCAUAUCAUUUUAUAUUUCUUCUAGAAGGUUUGUUCUGGAAAUAUUUCACAGGAGCAUAUCUUUUUCUUCUAUUACGUCAUCCGCAGCCUCCAAUAGGUCGGUUAACAAGCCACCGAGUUGAAAAGUUGGAAAAAUGGGAACACAGCCCGCCUCUUGUAUUCAGUAGUUAAAUAAAAGGUCACUAGAAGUGAGAUCCCUUUUGGCGUCUUGAUUUUCAAUCCAGCACCUCUGUGACCUGACAAACCAAAAAAACUAAAAAAUAAAAAACAGUACGUGGGUUGGUGUUAAGCAUCAAGACAUGUUAAUGAAAGAAGGUAGAGAAUAGGAUAUUGAAAUCCCAAUCCUGAUAACAUGAUUUUCUUUGCUAACAACCAUAUUAUAUUUUAUCAAGAAAGAGUAAUGCAUGUGGCGUCCAUCAAGACCCAUUAGAGUUCCGCUAAAGCUAUAGUUCUGUCAACGUUAUCAUUUACGUUUCCUCUAGAUAAUGGCAUUUUCCUCUAAAGCUCUUGCACCAUUAGGCUUCAAGUCAAAAUUUCACAUGUGAACUUUGGAAAUUUUCUCCAUUUGCCCCUAAGGAUACAGUUAGAAUUGACUUAAAAUCCUGAUUGAUAUGUACUAUUAACCAAAGAAUAUUGUAUAUAAUAAUUGAAAUAUUGUUGAUUCAUCGUGGAAAUACAUUUUGUAAGGAAAGUUGUUGAGAAUUUAGUAUGCUAUAUGGAGAAAAAAGUCAUGACUUAAGGUUGUGUAUGUAUAUUCUAUAUCAAAUAUUAGGUAGGAAUGUGGGAAAGAGCAGAGUGUAAUGAUAAGAAACAAAGAAAUAUAAGAUAUUCUUGAAAGUGGAAAAUAUAAAAUGGCUAACGAGUCAAAUUUAUGAUGCGUAAGGGGGAUCAUGUCACAUAAGAAAACCAUGGCAUACUAAAGACGUACGUGUGGUAUGGAGUAAUAAUUUUGUUAAAAUAAGUUUCUUGUUGGAGUACAUUAGGUGACUAUUCAUAACGUAUCAAAUUAAAGAGUCAAGUGCAUCAAUGAAGGCAUAUGUAGAAAAUUUGUUUGUGACAUGUACCAUAAAGAUAAGAUUGACUUGAUAGAAUUUAGUCUAAGUAGGAGUUGUUAAAGGUGUCUUAAAUUUCUAAUUGAUGUAUAUUUUUUUCUAAAAAAAUAUUAUAUAGAUAUUUUAAUAAAUGAUUAAUUCUUUGUAAAAAUACUUACAUAAUAAAAAACAUCAUUAAAAAUAUCUUUAUAAAUAUUUUAAGUUACAAGAAGGAAAAAAACCACUGUGAGAUAAUGAUGAACAUGCAACACUGUACCAAGUAAAUAAAAAUGUGAUAAAAAAAAAAGAGAAACACUCGAUAAAGGAAGGCUCGUAUAUAAAGAGUAAUAUUUUUAAUCAUAUGAUAGAAUGAUUUUCUCUCAUUCAUGAAUAUAGGCAAGAUUGGGGAACCAUUAUAAAAUUUUGUACACCUCGUGUAAAUUGAUGUUUGUCUUCAUAUUUUACACCAACAAAUGACAUUGAAGUUGUCAUUGAUAAAAGGGAAAAGGCAUGCCUCCACACCAUGUGCUUGAUUCGAAUGGUUCAAGUUUGAAGAAUUUUCUCCGGAAGAUCUAAAACAUUUUCGCCUUUAAAUUUCAUUUGAUUAUUAAUAUCCGAAAAAAUAGUUAAAUACUCUUUCUAUUUUUGAGUUGUUGAAUUUUUUGAAAGUUUUUAUAUUUGUUAUCAAGAAUUUCUAUUUUAUUAAGGGUGAAUAUUUAUAAAUAAGAUAUUAUAUAAUAUUUGGAUAAGAGAGAAUGGUGGAAUAUAAUAAAGUUUUAAUCCUUCCCAAUUUUGAACCUUUUUUUUUUUUUUUGAUAUAAUCGCCUUUCUCUUGCAAUCCUAUUAUCAGGUACCUUAUAUUUGCUGAUGCUAUCUGGAACUAAAUUCCAAUCAGGCAUUGUCCAAUUACUAAUAGGACAGAUCAUAUCUCUCUGUUUCUAAACUAACAUGUAUCGUAAUGUGACCUCAUAAGGAAGGCUAGGAAGAUGGAGGAUUUUGUGGGAAGCGACCAGAAUCAGAUGGAAGAGAGAUAGCCCUGUUGACCUAAUGGCUGUAAUAGGAGAAGCGUGUGGUUUUAUGGGACUUAACUGAUACUAAACCUGUAUGAUGCUUGGAGUGGUGUUUCUUUCAUUUUGUUAAGAAAAUAUGGCAGCAUACAUGCUUUCAACUGAGUGCAUCAGAGCAUCCAUAACAGAUGGUCUGCAACCCUAGGUGCAUGCCACUUUCUGACUGAUAAUGAAAUUGUCAGGUACCUGGCCUUGACUAAGCUCAACAGCAUCACAUAAAGAGAAGCUUUCAUACUUAGAUUACUGUUUAAAGUUUUUGCUUAUUUGAUUUCUUAAUGCCAUUAUGACAUUAUUGAUUCAAUUCUGCUUCCGAUUUUCGAAGUUCUGGGCAUCUACUGAUUGCAUCAUUAUAUGAGAAGUUGCAUGAGUUUAUGUAUCCUGUUAUUGUUCCUUUGCGAUUUCACUGCUCACGGGACUAACCUCUCCAUUCAGUCGAAAUGAAUUGUAAUUUCUUUACUGGUAGCAGUAGUACUUUUCAUAGCAAAGAUAAUAGAAAAUAUGAAAUAUAAAUAGAAGGAAAUCUGGAUUGUAGAUAGCACCAUAAGUAACACUCAAUAUUCACUACAUAAUAAAUAGACAGUGUUACAUAGGUAGAGAAACCUACAAUGAGUACUCAUCACCAUUCUCAAACAGAAACAUAGCAGCGACUUAUACAUAGAACCUAUAGGCUCGCAGGGAAAGAGUAACAUGAUAAGUUCACAGCGGGUAGCAGCUCUUAUUUUACGUAUUACUCAAAAUCUCAAACUAACCAAAGUCACUCAGUUGGGAUGGGUAGGAGAUGGUGGUUUGUGGGGUGGCUUCUGGGUAGGAGCUGGUGGCUUCUUUGUUGGAGUUGAAGGAGGCAUAUUCUUCUGAGGUGGCUUGUAUGACUCUUCGGCACUCUCUGCAGGAGGGUGCCCAGGGUUGUGACCAGAAGGAGGUGGCUUCUGUCCCUUUGGUGGUUUGCCUAAUGGGCUUGGUGGCUUGUGCUCCGGGAGUUGUUUCUCUCCCUCGAGUAGGUUUCGAGUUUUGUCAGAUGGCUUGUGUUCUGGUGGUGGCUUCUCUCCCUGGGGUGGUUUGCCGAAUGGGCUUGGUGGCUUGUGUUCGGGGAGUGGCUUCUCUCCCUGGAGAAGGUUACGAGUUUUGUCAGAUGGCUUUUGUUCUGGUGGCGGCUUCUCUCCCUGGGGUGGUUUGCCAAAUGGGCUUGGUGGCUUGUGUUCGGGAACUGGCUUCUCUCCCUUGGGAGGUUCAUUUGGUGGCUGGUGUUCCGUAGGUGGUUCCUUCACCGGCGGCUUGUGCUCCGGAAGCGGCUUCUCUACCUGGAGAAGCUUACGAGUUUUGUCAGAUGGCUUGUGUUGUGGUGGUGGCUUCUCUCCCGGGGGUGGUUUGCCAAAUGGACUUGGUGGCUUGUGUUCGGGGAGUGGCUUCUCUCCAUGGGGAGGUUUAGUUGGUGGUUGGUGUUGCGUAGGUGGUUUCUGAAGUGGGGGAUGCUUGGGGUAGUCAGCAAUAGACGAGGUAGUGAGAACCACCAGUCCCAACAGCAACACUAGCAAGGAUGUUGAAGACAUCUUUGAGUUCAGGCUGAGAUCUGUGCAAGGAUAAAAGAUUUAGGUGGCCUUUUAUAGAGGGCUGGACCCAACACCCAUAUGACACGUGUCAUGCACUCAUGGUGACACAUAAUUCUAUGGGACCAUUUGGGUCCUACAGAAGUUGCAAAGUUGGACUAUUGAGGUGUGAUCACAACUUUUGUCCUACUUGCUUUCUCUGCGGCCAUUGCACGAUUUCCUUUAGCAUCAUUUUCUUGUCUAAAUAAGCGUAUUAUAUUUGUGGCAGACCGUCCACGUGUCAUAAACAGAUAUAUUAUAAUAAUGUAGUAUGCUUUUCUUCAACGGAACUUGACACUCUUCUAAGUCUUGUUUUAAAUACUGUGCAGGAUUACGUCAUAAGUUGCUUGUUCCAAGUCAAAAUUGGUGGGCAAACGUUGGCCUUUUUUCAUUUUCCCUAAUAUUAAUGCUCACCUGGGAUAGGCACUACAUGAUUUAUCUGCUCUUUUACUGUGAAGUUGCUUUGUGCAUGAGUUACACCUCCCCUGCACACCCUCAACAUUUGUUGCUCUGUUUUUCUUGUGUCCAGACGAGGAUAUUAAUUGGAGGCUGACAAAACGACUGCUAGCCAAGGAUUUACAAGGUCCUGGUUUGAGGCUUUCACGAAAGUAUUUUUGAAAAGAUACACAUAGAGAUUGCGCGUUCGGUGCAAUGCAACAAUGUGAGCCAUUCUGAAGUCUUAAAUUUCAGAUUAAUGAAUGCUACAAAAUUCUAAGAAGGGCCGUUUCCAAAUAUUUGAGUUCAUUCAUCCGAACAUCGGGUAUAUGCUUCUUUCUCUAGCCCCUCCUUGAAGGGAGGAGGGACAAUGUGAUCUGUAUCGUUAGAAGCUAUUCCAUGUCGUCAUCUUUGGGCUCAGUUCAAUACUAAAAGAUAUGGGCGGGGCCCUUAUCAUUUUAUAUUUCUUCUAGAAGGUUUAUUCUGGAAAUCUUUCACAGAAACAUAUCUUUUUCUUCUCUACGUGAUCCGUGGUUUGAAAGUUGGAAAAAUGGGUCCGUUAACAAGCCACCGAGUUGAAAAGUUGGAAAAAUGGCAACACCGCCAACCUCUUGUAUUCGAUAGUUAAAUAAAAGGUCACUGGAAGUGAGAUCCCUUUUGGCCUCUUGAUUUUCAUUCCAGCAUCUCUAUGGCCUGAUAAAUUAAAAAACUAAAAAAAAAGACAGUACGUGGGUUGGUGUUAAGCAUCAAGAGUCAAGACAUGAUAAUGGAGAGAAAGGAUAUUCAAAUUCCAGUUCUGACAACAUGAUUUUCUUUGCUGAACUACCAUAUUAUAUUUGAUCAAGAAAGAGUAGUGCAUGUGGCCAGGAUCAAGACAUACAUUAAUUUCCACAUGAUGAAGACAGUUUCUGAGAGUUUCUUCUAAAGCUCUUGCGCGAGUAGGCUUCAAGUCAAAAUCUCCCAUGUAAACACUGGUUUUUCUUUCAUUGCCACUAAGGAUGCAGUUAAUAUUGACUUAAGAUCCUACGUGAUAUAUUUUUUUAAAAGAGCUAUAUUGUAGAUAAUAUUUGAAAUAAUGUUGAUUCGUUGUGGAAAUAUAUUUGUAAGGAAAGUUGUUGACAAUUUAAUAUAGUAUAAGAAGAAAAAAGUUAUCAACUAGCUAGAGAUGAGUAUGUAAAGUGAGGCUCACGAUUCAACGCGUAAAUAUAAGAUAUUUUAAGGCUCAAUAGUUAUGAUAUCUAUUUUAUUUUUUGUAUCUCAUAUAUUCAAAGAUAUAGUAAAAUGAUUUUACAUAUAUAUAUAUAUAUAUAUAUGAACAUAACUAUUUGUGCCAAUUGAUUUUUAUCUUUAUUUUGUAUAUUAGUAAUUAUAUUAAAGUUUUUACUAAUAUAAUAACUAAUAUAAAAGCUUUUUCUAAAAGAGUCAACAGAGCAAAACACUUAUUAUAAAAAAUAAUUUUGAUUGAAGGUGGAGUCAAUUAUUCUUUAUUUAACAUGUAAUGCAUACGGCGUGUACUUCAUAACUAAAGUAUAUAAGUGUAACAUCUCUUAUAUAUUCUCAUUCAAUCUCGAAAGUGGAAAUUUUAAAAAGAUUAAACGGUUCAAAUUUGUCGUGCAUAAAGGGGAUCAUGUCACAUAAGCAAACCAUGGCAUACCAAAGACAUAGGUAUGGACUAAGAAUUUUUUUCAAAUAAGUUUCUUAUUAGGGUACAUUAAUAGGUGACUUUUUAUGACAUAUCAAAGGAGUCAAGUGCACCAAUAAAAACAUAUAUAGAAAAUUCAUGCAUGACAUGUAUCACUAAGAGAAGAUUGACUUGAUAGAGUUUAAUCCAAAUAGGAGAUUGUUAAAAGGUGUCUCAAAUUCUUGAUUGAUAUAUAUUUUUUUUAUUAAAAAGGUUAUUAUAUAGAUAUUUCAAUAGACUAUUAAUUCUUUGUAAAAAUAGUUAUAUAAUGAGGAUGGUGAUUAAAAAUAUCUCUAUCAAUAUUUUGGAUUAUAAAAAGAAAAAAAAUGAGAUAAUGAUAAACAUAUAAAACUUGUACAAGUAGAUAAAGAUGUGAUGAAAGACACUUGAUGAAUGAAGGCUUUGUAUUUCAAGAUAUAAAUAUAUGGAGCAAAACUCUUAAUUAUAUGAUCAAAUGAUUCUCUCAUAUUCAUGAAUAUAAGCAGGAUUGGGGAACCAUGAUAGAAUCUUAUAUGCCUCUCCAUGUAGAGUGAUCGAUGUUUAUCUUCAUAUUUUACACCAGUGAAUGACAUUGAAACUCUUAUUGAUAAAAGGGAAAAGGCAUGGCCUCCACCCCAAGAAAAACAAGUAACCUCGGUUUAAAUCACUAGUCUACACCCCGAAGAGAGAACUAGCCAAACCUACUAAAAGAGAAACUUAACAAUUUAGAAAGAAACCGUCCAUGAUAAAGGGCCCCUAAAGGUCCAAUUCAGUGAGGUCGUGAACAAAAACACUUUCAUGUCAAAACAGAGAUAGGUACCACCAAAAUGUAAAGGGAAAGAUGUAAACCACGUCGAACUUUGGUAAUCAAUGGUAAAGAUAGCAUGAUAGCUAAAAGCACUAAAGCUGUGCUUGGUAUGCAAAAAUGAAAAGUGGAAAUCAGCGUCUUAUUCUUUUUCACCUUUAUUCACAUAUUAGGAUAACUAAUAUCUAAUGUUUUUUAUGUCUCAAAUUCUAUUCCAUGUUAUGGUAAACUUUCAUCUUGUUUAGAUCACUUUUGUCUGGUUUGGGCUCAAGACGAUAAGCCUAUAGAGACUUCAUAUUGGGUUGAAUCGAUGCCCUUGAUCUGAUCUGUUCGUUAGAAAAAUCUGAAUUAUUAUAAGCAUUUAGAUAAAAAAUAAAUAAAUGUGAAACACAAACUACUCCCUGCACAACCUUGACCCUAGUUACUCAGUUUCACUGCUCACAGGACUAACCUCUCCAUUCAGUCGAAAUGAAUUGUAACAAGAAGAUUUUUGACAGGAGGACGGUAGUUUAAAAUAAUAAUUUCUAAAGUACUUUUGUGAAAAAAAAUAAUUCCAAACGUGGAUUUUAUCAAGUAAAAAGAAAAAAAAAAGUUAUUUUCUUUUAAAAUCUGUUCUUCUAAAGAUGAUAUAUAUACCAAAAAAAAAAAUUGUUUUCUGAAGGUAAAAUUUUUAAAAUUCAUUUUUAAAAAAAUUUACACACUAAAAUUAUCUUUUCAAGAGAAGAUUUUUUUAAUUUUAAAUAAUUAUUAAUUUAUAAUUAAUUUGUUAUUAAUUAUUUAUUAAUUUUUUUAUUUGAAAAAUGCAUUUAUAAAAAACAAAUUUGUUAUUAAUUUAUUAAAUAAUUUUUACAAAAUAAAUAAUUUUUUUUUAUUUUAAUUUUAAAAUUAAUUUUAUUAUAUAAAUUUUAAAAUUAAAAAUAUUAAUAUUUAAUUUAAAAUUUAACUAUAAAAGGAAUAAAAUAUAGAAAAAUAAAUUAAUUUAUUAUUCAAUAAAUUAAUUUUCAAUAAAAUUUUCAGCAUUAAGAGAUAAAUUUUUAAGUAUUAAUCAAUUUAAAAAGAAAUAAUGAUCAUUUGUAUAUUAAGAUAUUUUAUUUAGUAAUUAUGAAUGAUAAACAACUAAAGUAAUUUGAAAAAAUAAUAAAAUAUUUAAAAAAUAAUAAUUUAAUACACGUAAAAUUAGAAAUGAUUAACUAUUUUUUAUUAAGAAAAAAUUGAGGAAAUAUUUUGUUAUUUAAAAUUUUUUAUUUGUUUUCAAUUUUUAAUGUUAUAGGUUUCAAGAAAAUUGAUCAAAUAAAAAUUAAGAAGUCAUUUUUUCAAAAACUAUAUAUCUAAAUAAAAGCCUUGAAAUUCAAAUACACAAUAUCAUAAAUAUAAACACCAAGUCAAUCCUUAAUUAUCAAAUGUUUUUAAUAUUAAAGAAUCAAAAUCACCUACUAUCAUGAUAAUAAGAAAACCAAUAAUAUUGUUCAUAUAAAUACUAAAAAGCUAACAAAUAUCCCAAACAAUUAAUAAAGUAUCAAACAUGAUAAAAAGUCAAUUAUUAUCAUGAAUGCAAAAAAUCAAUAAUUUUGUUUAUAUGAACCAUCAACAAAGAAAAAAAAAAUCAAUAUCUAAAUAUUAAACAUAAUUUAUAUUUUUAUAAAUAUUAUUGUUGAUAAAUAUCUUAACAAUUAUAAUUUUAGUAAAUAAAAUUAAUUAAUUUUAGUUUAAGAAUUAUUUUUUUAUACUUUCGUAUUCUUAUCAAAAAUCCCCAUUUUGCAUGUCUCCUUUGGCAUGACUUUCUUACCUAAACAAGCAUAUAUAUAUAUAUAUAUAUAUAAAAUAUUUGGUUAAGAAAGAGUACUAAAGUUUAUAUGGCACACAUCAAGAUAGAAACAGAAGUGGAAGAUAAUCCAAAUGUAUGAACAGAUAUAUUAUAUCCAUGUAGUGGUAGUGACUUCAUUAUUUACUUUUAUCUAAUGGAGCAUGACACACUUCUUCUGAAUAUUUUGCACGAUUAUGUUAUGUGUCAGCUUGUUCUAAGUCAAAACUAGUGAUAAAAAUCGGUUUUUUUUGCAUUUCCUUCAUGAAGAUGGCACCUGGAUGGGGCACUACAUGAGUGGCAUAGCACGAAGUGAUUUAUCUGCUCCCUUUACUAUAAAGUGCUUUGUGUAUAAGUUACACCUCCCCUGCACUGCCUCAACAUUUGUUGUUCUGUCUUCCGUCUGUCCAAACGAGGACAAACGUAUGUUGUAGGUUGACAAAACCACAGCUAGCCUAGGAUUUGCAAGGAUCUAGUUUGAUUCGUAUGCAAAAGGAUUGGUGAAAAGAUUCACAAAGAUAAUGCUUUUUGCAAUGCAAUCUUGUUCUAAUUCAACAGUGUGGACCAUUUUCAUGUAAUGCUUCAACUAGAUGUCAGUUUCAUGAAUUUUUGUUCAUCUAAUUGAUCACUGGAUAGGCCAUAACCCGAAGAAAUUCAAAAUUCCCUUCAGUACUGUAGCUAAGGAAAGAUCCCUAUCUACCACUGGGAUUUUAAGAGGGUAAAAAUGUAGGUGGGUGCCUAUAUCAUUUGCACUUCACUAUAGGCCUCUUUGGGAAGAUUUCUUCUGAAGACAUUUCAAAGAAACAUAUUUUUCUCUUCUCUCCGUAAACGGCAGCUGCAAGUCAGUCCAUUCACAGGCCACCGAGUUGAAAAGGCUGGAAAAUUGGCCAAAGCACCCGCCUCCUGGAUUCCAUGGGUAAGGAAAAGGUCACUGGAGGUGUGAUCCCUGUUGGCCUCUUGAUUUCCAUUCCGCCAUCUAUAUGACCUGAUAACCCAAAAACACAGAAGGAAAACGUCACCUGGGUUCAUAGUAAGCAUCAAGUCAUGAUAGAGACCAGACAACAUGACCAACAAAGAGUAGCGAAUGGGGCCAACAUCAAGCCCCAUUACGGUUAGAAGAUGGAAGAAGUAGAAGACAAUCCAAUUCUGAUAGAUUCGGGCAAAUGUAGUGCUGUUCAAACUUAAUCAUUUACUAUUUCUUCAUGAAUCACGGCAUUUUUCUUCUGAAAAUUUUCCAAGAUUAGGCCUCUGAAGAAAAAUUUCAUAUGUAAAUUGGUAUAUUAAGGAAAAGGCGUUACAAAGGUGAAAAAAAACCAAUCAAAUCUUAUAUAUGACAUCUCAAAAAUAUGAACUUGCUAUAAAUAUUUAAAAUCAAAAUCUUGCACAUCACCUCGUAGUACGAACUUGCUAUAAAACUUGAAAAUCAAGAAGAAAGGGGCAGUAUUGGACGAGACUACUUAGCACAUAUUAUUAUGAUGUUUUUUCAUUUUCUUAAUGUUGUUUUUAUGUCUUAAAUUCUAUUAUUCUAUGUUACGGUAAACAUUCAUCUUGUUUGUGUGGAAUAGGAUCACUUUUCUCUGGGUUGAGUCGAUGCCCUUAGUUAAUUUGUUCAUUUGAAUAAACUAAAUUAUUAUAAGUAUUUAGAUAAGAAAAACGUGAUACAUAAAUUACGCCUCUCGGCACAACUUCAACACUGGUUACUCUGUUUCAGUUUCCUCACACAAGAUUAUUGGUUCUAGGGUUUAUUUGGUUUUGGUUUGAUUCUAAUUGCUAAACUUUCUCAAGGAAGAUGUUAUAUAGGGAGUGAGAAACCUUCACUCUUGGCUACCUCCAAGAGAAGAGCAAGUGGUCUGAAUCAAAGAUAUACUGCUCACUUUUUCUUCUUCUAAGGACAGCUAUGACCUUGCUUUAAGGUUCGAAUAGCCUAAUGCAACCUCCCAUUUCUCAAGUCAGCUGAUGAUGUAAGUCACCUUGGCUUUCCACAUUCAUACGGUGAGGACGUUUGUGGGUGUAAUUCUCUUAACAGUUUUCAUUUUAUAUGGAAAAAUUCAUAAUUAAGGGUAAUUACUGAUUCCAUUUGACAGUGACCAAGUUUAAAAUAUUAAUUCAUAUAUUAAAUGCACAUUAAAAAAUCAUGGAAUAAAUAUAUUUACUAAUAUAUAGUUCUUUUGCCAUGUUCUGUCACAGAAGCAUCGAACUUUCCCUAGAAAUUUUUGCAUGGUAUUCUACUUAUGAUUUUGAAAACUCUAGGCACCUGAGGCCACUAAUUGCAUGGUUGGAUGAGGAGCUGCAUGAGAUUAUGUAUCGUGUUGUUCCUUAACUACAAAUAUCAGUUUUAAGUAGCAUCUCCAUGUGACAUUUUCCUGAUGCAAUUUCGCUGUCCACCAACAAAUUUCACCAUGCAGCAAGAUGAAUUGUAAUUUCUUUAUUGUUAUCAACAGCUUUAAUUAAUCUUGAUAUAUAUAUAUAACUUAGUAGAAGUAUAUUAAUCUAGAUUGUAGUUGCACUAAGAUAAUAGGCAAUAUUAUAACAGUGCCACAAUGCUCAUCGCCAAAUAGAAAGGUAGAAAAACUACAAUGAGUAACUCACAACAUUCUCAAACAGGACAUAGCGGCGACUGAUACAUAGAACACUAUUGGCACUCAGGAAAUGAUAAGAUCAGUGCCCAGCAGGCAGCACGUCUUAUUUUACAUACUACUUAAAACUAACCAAAGUCAUUCAGUUGGGAUGGGUGGGAGAUGGUGGUUUGUGCGGUGGCUUUUGGGUAGUUGGUGGCUUCUUUCCUGGAACUGAUGGUUUUUUUGUUGGAGUUGAAGGAGGCUUAAUCGUCUGAGGUGGCUUGUAUGAGUCUUCAGCACUCUCUGCGGGAGGGUGCCCAGGGUUGUGACCAUAAUGGGGUGGCUUCUCUCCCUUAGUUGGUUUGCCAAGUGGGCUGGCUGGCUUGUGCUCCGGGAGCGGCUUCUCUCCCUUAGGUGGUUUGCCAAAUGGGCUUGCUGGCUUGUGCUCUGGGAGCGGCUUCUCUCCCUCAAGAAGUUUACGGGUUUUGUCAGAUGGCUUGUGUUCUGGUGGUGGCUUCUCUCCUUGGGGUGGUUUGCCAAAUGGACUUGGUGGCUUGUGUUCGGGGAGUGGCUCCUCUCCCUUGGGAGGUUUAGUUGGUGGCUGGUGUUCCAUAGGUGGUUUCUCAACCGGGGGCUUGUUCUCCGUUGGUGGUUUAUGAACUGGGGGAUGCUUGGGGUAGUCAGCAAGAGACGGGGUGGUGAGAACCACCAGUCCCAGCAGCAACACUAGCAAGUAUGUGGAAGAGUACAUCUUUGAGUUCAGGCUGAGAUUUGUGCGAGACUUGAAGAAUUAGGUGGCCUUUUAUAGCUGGCUGCACCCAACACUCACAUGACACGUAUCAUGGUGACACAUGUGCUAUGGGUCCAUUUGGGUCCUACAGAAGCUGAAAACUUUUGACUAUUGAGGUGUGGUCACAACUUUUGUCCCUAUUGCUUUCUCCGCAACCGUUUUACAUGUUUCCUUUGGCAUAAUUUUCUAAGCUAAACAAGCAUAUAUCAUAUUUGGUUAAGAAAGAGUAAAGUGUAUAUGGCACACAUCAAGGAAGAGAAACAGAAAAAGUGGGAGACAAUCAAUUGUGAUAAACAGAUAUAUUAUAUUCAUGUAGUACUAGUGACUUUAUCAUUUACUUUUAUCCAAUAGAUCAUCACUCUUUCUUCUAAAUAUUUUGGAGGAUAAUGGUACAUGUUGCUUGUUUCCAAGUCAAAAUUGGUGGCAAAAAUCGGCAUGAUACGAAAGGAUUGGUGAAAAGAUUCACAUAGAUGGUGCUUUGUGCAAUGCAGUCUUGCUCUAAUUCAACAGAGUGGACCAUGGUGAUGUAUUUUAAAUUUUAAAUUUUAAAUUAAUGCAUGCUUCAAAGUUUUAACUAGAUGUCACUUCCAUGGAUUUUUGUUCAUUUAAUUGAGCACAGGAUAGGCUAUCAAACUUGAAGUAAUAUAAAAAUCCCUUCAUUACUGUAACUAAUGAAAGAUCAUUAUCUGCGCUUGGUAUUUUGCCAAGGUAUUUGCUGCUCUUUCUAGCCCUGUCUUACAGUUAAGGACAAUGUGAUCUAGUUAACCUUAGAAGCUAUUCCAUGUCAGAUACAAGAGAUCAAGCACAUUAUCUUUGGGCUCAGUUCAAAACUAUAAUAUAUGGGUGGGGUGGAGGCCCAUAUCAUUUGCAUAUCACCACUAUUGGUUUAGUUUGGAAGGUUUCUUCUGGAAGAUUGCUGCUUUCUGGAAUCAUUUCAAAGAAAUAUAUCUUUUUGUUCUCUUGGUGACGAGCAGCGGCAAUCAAGUCUGUUGACAAACAACCGAGUUGAAAAGUUUGAAAAUUGGUCACAGCCCACGUCCAUGGUUAAGGAAAAGGUCACUGGAAGUGAUCCCUUCUGGGCCUCUUGAUUUCCAUUCUGACAUCUAUAUGACCUGAUAAAUAGAAAGAAAAAAAAACAGAAGAAAAGCGGCACCCGGGUUCAUAGUAAGCAUCAAGACAGGAUACUGAAAGAAGGGAGAAAGGAGAUUGCAAGUCCAAUCCUGAUAAAAUGAUCAACAAAGAGUAUCAAAAUGGGGCCAACAUAAAGACCCAUUGAGGUUAGCAGAUGGCAUGGCAUUUUUCUCCUUAAGUUUUCCAUGAUUAGACUUGAAGUCAAAAUUUCACAUGUAAAUUUGUAUUUCUACAUUUCCCACUGACGACACCCAACUUCAACUUGAGUUAGAAUAACAUUGUGUGAACUUAUCUGGCCCUCAAAAUUUACUGUGAAGUGCUUUCUGCGUGUGAAGAUUCAGAAAAGCACCAAGGGAACAUGUAUGGUCUGCCUUUUUCUGAUGUUAUGUUUGUCUCUAAUUCUGUUCCAUGUCAUGGUAAAUGUUCACAUUGCUUGUAUGGAACACACCAGGAUCACUUUUUCGGGUUUAUUUUGAGGCUUCAUAUUGGGUUCAUAUUGGGUUCAAUGCUUUUAAUGUGUUCAUUAGACAAAUCUGAAUUAUCAUAUGCAUUUAGAUAAGAACAAUAAUGUGAAACCCUAGUUACACCUCCCCUGCAUAACCCCAACCCUGCUUACUCUAUUUCAGUUUACUCACACAAGUUUUACCGGUUCUUAUAAGUCAAGAAAAGGCAACUGAUGUUGGAUUGACUCUCUUCCAUGUAUAAAAAGCAACUUUUAUAUAUACAUAAAAUAACUUCUUCCCCUCACCAAUGUGGGAUAUCAUGGAUUUAUUCUGGAAACACAUCAAAGGAACAUCUUUUCUCUUGGGUGACCCUAAGUGGUGAGUCAGACCAUUUGCAUGCCAUUGAGUUGCACAGUUGGAUAAAUGCACCUACCUCCUGGGCUCCAGAGUUAAAAGGGUGGAUCCCUGGAUCGCAACCCUCUUGGCAUCUUGGUUUCCAUUCCAACAUCCACAUGACUUGACAAAACAAAAAACAGAAUAAAAUCAUCACUAUUUUCAUGCUAAGCACCAAUACAUGAUGGAAAUCAUUGCUUAAAGAUUUGGGGUCAUUUAGGUUUUGACUGCCUCCUAACACCUCACCUAAUCACAAGUUUUUAUGCUUACAAAUCAAAUAUCGUUCUUCAUUAUAUUAAAAUCAUUUUAAGAUUUCAGAUCCAUCUGCUAAUUAUGAUUAUGAUAACAUUAAUUCACCUGUGCUUCUCAUUUUCGACACACAAGGCAUCUAGGUUUGCAGGAUUUCCUUAUUAGAUGAGAUAAAUGAGUACGCAUGGUUAUGUAUGCAGCAUUCAUUAACCAUGGUAUGUGACAUUUAGAAUUAAGAUAGCAAGCAAACUUUCCCUGCAGCUUGAGUAAAUUGUGAUUUCUUAGCCUCUAUGAGUGGUUCCCAAAUCAAAUUAACAUAGUGAAAUAUACGUAGUCCAGUGAAAGGAAAUGUAAAUUAUAAACUAACAGCACUACACUACUGGUAACACUCGAUACUCUCUAUAUAAUGCAAUGAAAUAUACGUUAUACGUUGCUUGUUCCAAGUCAAAAUUUGUGGCCAAACGUUGGCCUUUUUUCAUUUUCCCUAAGAUUAAUGCUCACCUGGGAUAGGCACUACAUGAUUUAUCUGCUCUUUUACUGUAAAGUUGCUUUGUGUAUGAGUUACACCUCCCCUGCACACCCUCAACAUUUGUUGCUCUGUUUUCCUUGUGUCCAGACGAGGAUAUUAAGUGGGGGCUGACAAAACGACUGCUAGCCAAGGAUUUACAAGGUCCUGGUUUGACGCUUCCGCGAAAGUAUUUUUGAAAAUAUACACAUAGAGAUUGCGCGUUCGGUGCAAUGCAACAAUGUGAGCCAUUCUGAAGUUUUUAAUUUCAGAUUAAUGAAUGCUACAAAAUUCUAAGAAGGGCCGUUUCCAAAUAUUUGAGUUCAUUUAUCCGAACAUCGGAUAAGUAAUGAUCAUAGAUUAUUAUUAUUAUCUGACGUUCUUAUAAUGGUUGGCAUUAUAAGAGGGUAUAUGCUUCUUUCUCUAGCCCCUCCUUCAAGGGAGGGACAAUGUGAUCUGUAUCGUUAGAAGCUAUUCCAUGUCGUCAUCUUUUGGCUUAAGUCAAUACUAAAAUAUAUGGGCGGGGCCCCUGUCAUUUUAUAUUUCUUCUAGAAGGUUUGUUCUGGAAAUCUUUCACCGAAACAUAUCUUUUUCUUCUCUACGUGAUCCGUGGUUGGAAAGUUAGAAAAAUGGGUCCGUUCACAAGCCACCGAGUUGAAAAGUUGGAAAAAUGGCAACACCGCCAACCUCUUGUAUUCGAUAGUUAAAUAAAAGGUCACUGGAAGUGAGAUCCCUUUUGGCCUCUUGAUUUUCAUCCCAGCAUCUCUAUGUCCUGAUAAACUAAAAAACUAAAAAAAAAACAGUACGUGGGUUGGUGUUAAGCAUCAAGAGUCAAGACAUGAUAAUGGAGAGAAAGGAUAUUCAAAUUCCAGUUCUGACAACAUGAUUUUCUUUCCUGAACAACCAUGUUAUAUUUGAUCAAGAAAGAGUAGUGCAUGUGGCCAGGAUCAAGACAUACAUUAAUUUCCACAUGAUGAAGACAGUUUCUGAGAGUUUCUUCUAAAGCUCUUGCGCUAGUAGGCUUCAAGUCAAAAUUUCCCAUGUAAACACUGGAUUUUCUUUAAUUGCCACUAAGGAUACAGUUAAAAUUGACUUAAAAUCCUACGUGAUAUAUAUCUUUAACAAAAGUAUAUUGUAUAUAAUAUUUGAAAUAAUGUUGAUUCGUUGUGGAAAUAUGUUUGUAAGGAAAGUUGUUGACAAUUUAAUAUAGUAUAAGAAGAAAAAAGUUAUCAACUAGAGAUGAGUAUGUAAAGUGAGGCUCACGAUUCAACGCGUAAAUAUAAGAUAUUUUAAGGCUCAAUAGUUAUGAUAUCUAUUUUAUUUUUUGUAUCCCAUAUAUUCAAAGAUACAGUAAAAUGAUUUUAUAUAUAUGAACAUAGCCGAUAGUAUCAUGUUAAAACCUUAUAUGACUCUUUGUGCCAAUUGAUUUUUAUCUUUAUUUUGUGUAUUAGUAAUUAGUAUUAAAGUUUUUACUAACAUAAUAAUUGAUAUAAAAGCUUUUUCCAAAAGAGUCAAACAGAGCAAAACACUUAUUAUAAAAAGAAUUUUGAUUGAAGGUGGAGUCAAUUAUUCUUUAUUCAACAUGUGAUGCAUACAGCGGGUACUUCAUAACUAAAGUAUAUAAGUGCAACAUCUCUUAUACAUUCUCAUUCAAUCUCGAAAGUGGAAAAUUUUAAAAGAUUAAAUGGUUCAAAUUUUCCGUGCAUAAAGGGGAUCAUGUCACAUAACCAAACCAUGGCAUACCAAAGCCAUGAUAUGGACUAAGAAUUUUGUUAAAAUAAGUUUCUUAUUAGGGCACAUUAUGUGACUAUUUAUGACAUAUCAAAGGAGUCAAGUGCAUCAAUAAAGACAUAGAAAAUUCAUGCAUCACAUGUACCACUAAGAGAAAAUUGACUUGAUAGAGUUUAGUCCAAAUAGGAGAUUGUUAAAAGGUGCAUCAAAUUCUUGAUUGAUAUAUAUUUUUUUUAUUAGAAAGGUUAUUAUAUAGAUAUUUCAAUAGACUAUUAAUCCUUUGUAAAAAUAGUUAUAUAAUGAGGAUGGUGAUUAAAAAUAUCUCUAUCAAUAUUUUGGAUUAUAAAAAGAAAAAAAAUAUGAGAAAAUGAUAAACAUAUAAAACUUGUACAAGUAGAUAGAGAUGUGAUGAAAGACACUUGAUGAAUGGAGGCCUUGUAUUUCAAGAUGUAAAUAUAUGGAGCAAAACUCUUAAUUAUAUGAUCAAAUGAUUCUCUCAUAUUCAUGAACAUAAGCAGGAUUGGGGAACCAUGAUAGAAUCUUAUAUGCCUCUCCAUGUAGAUUGAUCGAUGUUUAUCUUCAUAUUUUACACCAAUGAAUGACAUUGAAACUCUGAUUGAUAAAAGGGAAAAAGCAUGGCCUCCACCACAAGAAAAACAAGUAACCUCGGUCUAAAUCACUAGUCUACACCCCGAAGAGAGAACUAGCCAAACCUACUAAAAGAGAAACUUACCAAUUUAGAAAGAAAUCUUCCAUGAUAAAGGGCCCCUAAAAGUCCAAUUCAGUCAGGUUGUGAACAAAAACACCUUCAUGUCAAAACAGGAAUAGGUACCACCAAAAUGUAAAGGGAAAGAUGUAAACCAAGUCGAACUUUGGUAAACAAUGGUAAAGAUAGCAUGAUAGCUAAAAGCACUAAAGCUGUGCUUGGUAUGCAAAAAUGAAAAGUGGAAAUCAGCGUCUUAUUCUUUUUCUCCUUUAUUCACAUAUUAGGAUAACUAAUAUCUAAUGUUUUUUUUAUGUCUCAAAUUCUAUUCCAUGUUAUGGUAAACUUUCAUCUUGUUUAAGUGGAAGAGUAGGAUCACUUUUGUCUGGUUUGGGCUCAAGACGAUAAGCCUAUAGAGACUUCAUAUUGGGUUGAAUUGAUGCCCUUGAUCCGAUCAGUUCGUUAGAAAAAUCUGAAUUAUUAUAAGCAUUUAGAUAAAAUAAAUAAAUAAAUGUGAAACAGAGACUAUUCUCUGCACAACCUUGACCCUAGUUACUCAGUUUCACUGCUCACGGGACUAACCUCUCCAUUCAGUCGAAAUGAAUUGUAAUUUCUUUACUGGUAGCAGUAGUACUUUUCAUAGCAAAGAUAAUAGUAAAUAUGAAAUAUAAAUAUAUAGAAGGAAAUCUGGAUUGUAGAUAGCACCAUAAGUAACACUCAAUAUUUACUACAUAAUAAAAGAGAUAGUGUUACAAAGGUAGAGAAACCUACAAUGAGUACUCAUCACCAUUCUCAAACAGAAACAUAGCAGUGACUUAUACAUAGAACCUAUAGGCUCGCAGGGAAAGAGUAACAUGAUAAGUGCACAGCGGGUAGCAGCUCUUAUUUUACGUAUUACUCAAAAUCUCAAACUAACCAAAGUCACUCAGUUGGGAUGGGUAGGAGAUGGUGGUUUGUGGGGUGGCUUCUGGGUAGGAGCUGGUGGCUUCUUUGUUGGAGUUGAAGGAGGCGUAAUCUUCUGAGGUGGCUUGUAUGAGUCUUUGGCACUCUCUGCAGGAGGGUGCCCAGGGUUGUGACCGGAAGGAGGUGGCUUCUGUCCCUUUGGUGGUUUGCCUAAUGGGCUUGGUGGCUUGUGCUCCGGGAGUUGUUUCUCUCCCUCGAGUAGGUUUCGAGUUUUGUCAGAUGGCUUGUGUUCUGGUGGUGGCUUCUCUCCCUGGGGUGGUUUGCCGAAUGGGCUUGGUGGCUUGUGUUCGGGGAGUGGCUUCUCUCCCUUGGCAGGUUCAGUUGGUGGCUGGUGCUCCGUAGGUGGUUUCUUCACCGCCGGCUUCUCUCCCUGGAGAAGGUUACGAGUUUUGUCAGAUGGCUUCUGUUCUGGUGGCGGCUUCUCUCCCUGGGGUGGUUUGCCAAAUGGGCUUGGUGGCUUGUGUUCGGGAACUGGCUUCUCUCCCUUGGCAGGUUCAGUUAGUGGCUGGUGUUCCGUAGGUGGUUUCUUCACCGGCGGCUUGUGCUCCGGAAGCGGCUUCUCUACCUGGAGAAGCUUACGAGUUUUGUCAGAUGGCUUGUGUUGUGGUGGUGGCUUCUCUCCCUGGGGUGGUUUGCCAAAUGGACUUGGUGGCUUGUGUUCGGGGAGUGGCUUCUCUCCAUUGGGAGGUUUAGUUGGUGGUUGGUGUUCCGUAGGUGGUUUCUGAAGUGGGGGAUGCUUGGGGUAGUCAGCAAGAGACGAGGUAGUGAGAACCACCAGUCCCAGCAGCAAUACUAGCAAGGAUGUGGAAGACAUCUUUGAGUUCAGGCUGAGAUUUGUGCAAGGCUAGAAGAAUUAGGUGGCCUUUUAUAGCGGGCUGGACCCAACAACCAAAUGACACGUAUCAUGAUACACAUAUGUGUUAUAAGAUCCUUGUGGGUCCUACAGAAGUUGAAAACUUUGACAAUUGAGGUGUGAUUACAACUUUUGUCCCUAUUGCUUUCUCGUCAGCCGUUUUGCAAGAUUUUUGACAGGAGGACGGUAGUUUAAAAUAAUAAUUUCUAAAGUACUUUUGUGAAAAAAAAUAAUUCCAAACGUGGAUUUUAUCAAGUAAAAAAAACAAAAAAAAGUUAUUUUCUUUUAAAAUCUUUUCUUCAUGAUUCAUAUACCAAAAAAAGAAUUGUUUUCUGUAGGUAAAAUUUUUAAAAUUCAUUUUUAAAAAAAAAAAAUUACACACUAAAAUUAUCUCUUCAAGAAAAUAUUUUUUAAAUUUUAAAUAAUUAUUAAUUUAUAAUUAAUUUUUUAUUAAUUAUUUAUUAAAUUUAUAUGUGAAAAAUGCAUUUAUAAAAAACAAAUUUUUUAUUAAUUUAUUAAAUAAUUAUUUACAAAAUAAAUAAUUUUGCUUUAUUUUAAUUUUAAAAUUAAUUUUAUUAUAUAAAUUUUAAAAUUAAAAAUAUUAAUAUUUAAUUUAAAAUUUAACUAUAAAAGGAAUAAAAUAUAGAAAAAUAAAUUAAUUUAUUAUUCAAUAAAUUAAUUUUCAAUAAAAUUUUCAGCAUUAAGAGAUAAAUUUUUAAGUAUUAAUCAAUUUAAAAAAUAAUAAUAAUCAUUUGUAUACUAAGAUAUUUUAUUUAGUAAUUAUGAAUGAUAAACAACUAAAGUAAUUUGAAAAAAUAAUAAAAUAUUUAAAAAUAAUAAUUUAAUACACUUAAAAUUAGAAAUGAUUAACUAUUUUUUAUUAAGAAAAAAUUGAAGAAAUAUUUUGUUAUUUAAAAUUUUUUAUUUGUUUUCAAUUUUAAAUGUUAUAGGUUUCAAGAAAAUUGAUCAAAUAAAAAUUAAGAAGUCAUUUUUUCAAAAACUAUAUAUCUAAAUAAAAGCCUUGAAAUUCAAAUACACAAUAUCAUAAAUAUAAACACCAAGUCAAUCCUUAAUUAUCAAAUGUUUUUAAUAUUAAAGAAUCAAAAUCACCUACUAUCAUGAUAAUAAGAAAACCAAUAAUAUUGUUCAUAUAAAUACUAAAAAGCUAACAAAUAUCCCAAACAAUUAAUAAAGUAUCAAACAUGAUAAAAAGUCAAUUAUUAUCAUGAAUGCAAAAAAUCAAUAAUUUUGUUUAUAUGAACCAUCAACAAAGAAAAAAAAAAUCAAUAUCUAAAUAUUAAACAUAAUUUAUAUUUUUAUAAAUAUUAUUGUUGAUAAAUAUCUUAAUAAUUAUAAUUUUUUAUAUAUUAAAUUUAGUAAAUAAAAUUAAUUAAUUUUAUAAUAUAAGAUAUAUAUAAUAAUUAAGAGACUAUUUGUCCCAAACAAUUUAUUUAUUUUUUUUUUAGGAAAUUGUCUCUUCAAGAGACGACUUCUCCCAACAUUUUUAAAAAAAAAAAAAAAAACAUCUAUUCAAAAGACGAUUUCUCCUCAUUUUUUAAAAAUGAAUUUUAGAAAUCAUAUUUUCAAAAAUGAAUUUUAGAAAUCAUAUUUUCAAAAGACGAUUUUUUUUUAUAUAAAUUAUUUUUUAAAAUGACGAUUUUAAAAGGAAAUAACGAUCUCUCUCCUACUUGGCAAAAACUAUGGUAAAUUUGGAAUUAUUUCUUCCACAACCAUAGUUUAAGAAUUAUUUUUUUAUACUUUCGUAGACUUAUCAAAAAUCCCUAUUUUGCAUGUCUCAUUUGGCAUGACUUUCUUACCUAAACAAGCAUAUAUAUAUAUAUAUAUAUAUAUAUCACUUUUGUCUGGGUUGAGUCAAUGCCCUUAACUAAUUUGUUCAUUUGAAUAGUCUAAAUUAUUAUAAGCUUUUAGUUAAGAAAAAUGUGAAACAUAAAUUACACCUCUCGGCACAACUUCGACACUGGUUACUCUGUUUCAGUUUAUUCACACAAGAUUAUUGGUUCUAGGGUUUAUUUGGUUUUGGUUUGAUUCUAAUUGCUAAACUUUCUCAAGGAAGAUGUUAUAUAGGGAGUGAGAAACCUUCACUCCUGGCUACCUCCAAGAGAAGAGCAAGUGGUCUGAAUCAAAGAUAUACUGCUCACUUUUUCUUCUUCUAAGGACAGCUAUGACCUUGCUUUAAAAUGUUCGAAUAGCCUAAUGCAACCUCCCAUUUCUCAAGUCAGCUGAUGAUGUAAGUCACCUUGGCUUUCCACAUUCAUACGGUGAGGACGUUUGUGGGUGUAAUUCUCUUAACAGUUUUCAUUUUAUAUGGAAAAAUUCAUAAUUAAGGGUAAUUACUGAUUCCAUUUGACAGUGACCAAGUUUAAAAUAUUAACUCAUGUAUUAAAUGCACAUUAAAAAAUCAUGGAAUAAAUAUAUUUACUAAUAUAUAGUUCUUUUGUCAUGUUCUGUCACAGAAGCAUCGAACUUUCCCUAGAAAUUUUUGCAUGGUAUUCUGCUUAUGAUUUUGAAAACUCUAGGCACCUAAGGCCACUGAUUGCAUGGUUGGAUGAGGAGCUGCAUGAGAUUAUGUAUCCUGUUGCUCCUUAACUACAAAUAUCAGUUUUAAGUAGCAUCUCCAUGUGACAUUUUCCUGAUGCAAUUUCGCUGUCCACCAACAAAUGUCUCCAUGCAGCUAGAUGAAUUGUAAUUUCUUUGUUGUUAUCAACAGCUUUAAUUAAUCUUGAUAUAUAUAUAACUUAGUAGAAGUAAUUAAUCUAGAUUGUAGUUGCACUAAGAUAAUAGGCAAUAUUAUAACAGUGCCACAAUGCUCAUCGCCAAAUAGAAAGGUAGAAAAACUACAAUGAGUAACUCACACAACAUUCUCAAACAGGACAUAGCGGCGACUGAUACAUAGAACACUAUUGGCACUCAGGAAAUGAUAAGAUCAGUGCCCAGCAGGCAGCACGUCUUAUUUUACAUACUACUUAAAACUAACCAAAGUCAUUCAGUUGGGAUGGGUGGGAGAUGGUGGUUUGUGCGGUGGCUUCUUUCCUGGAACUGGUGGUUUUUUUGUUGGAGUUGAAGGAGGCUUAAUCGUCUGAGGUGGCUUGUAUGAGUCUUCAGCACUCUCUGCAAGAGGGUGCCCAGGGUUGUGACCAUAAUGAGGUGGCUUCUCUCCCUUAGGUGGUUUGCCAAGUGGGCUGGCUGGCUUGUGCUCCGGGAGCGGCUUCUCUCCCUUAGGUGGUUUGCCAAAUGGGCUUGCUGGCUUGUGCUCUGGGAGCGGCUUCUCUCCCCCAAGAAGUUUGCGGGUUUUGUCAGAUGGCUUGUGUUCUGGUGGUGGCUUCUCUCCUUGGGGUGGUUUGCCAAAUGGACUUGGUGGCUUGUGUUCGGGGAGUGGCUCCUCUCCCUUGGGAGGUUUAGUUGGUGGCUGGUGUUCCGUAGGUGGUUUCUCAACCGGGGGCUGGUGCUCCGUAGGUGGUUUAUGAACUGGGGGAUGCUUGGGGUAGUCAGCAAGAGACGGGGUGGUGAGAACCACCAGUCCCAGCAGCAACACUAGCAAGUAUGUGGAUGACAUCUUUGAGUUCAGGCUGAGAUUUGUGCAAGACUAGAAGAAUUAGGUGGCCUUUUAUAGCUGGCUGCACCCAACACUCACAUGACACGUAUCACGGUGACACAUGUGCUAUGGGAUCCAUUUGGGUCCUACAGAAGUUGAAAACUUUUGACUAUUGAGGUGUGAUCACAACUUUUGUCCCUAUUGCUUUCUCCGCAACCGUUUUACAUGUUUCCUUUGUGGUGUUUAAUAGUGUUUUUUUCCUUAAUUCUAAAUAAACCUUAAUACUUAAUAAUGUUAAAUAUUAGGUUAUUUAUUUUUAUAAUAUUUUAUUUAUAUUAAGUAUUAAAAAGUAAAGAAAAAUCAAUAUAUUUAUUUUUCUAUUUAGAAAAAACUAUAUAUUUUUAAUUUUUUUAUUUAAUAAAAAAUUUAUAAUAAAUCAUGAAAAAAUAGAAAAACAAACAACCUAAAUUUUAAAAAUAAAUUGUUUUUAGUAAAAACCCAAAAAAACAAACACCACCUUAACUAAACAAAUAUAUAUUAUAUUUAGUUAAGAAAGAGUAAAGUGUAUAUGGCUCAAAUCAAGGAAGAGAAACAGAAUAAGUGGAAGACAAUCAAUUGUGAUAAACAGAUAUAUUACAUGCAUGUAGUACUAGUGACUUUAUCAUUUACUUUUAUACAAUAGAUCAUCACACUCUUUCUUCUAAAUAUUUUGGAGGAUAAUGGUACAUGUUGCUUGUUGCCAAGUCAAAAUUGGUGGCAAAAAUCGGCAUGAUACGAAAGGAUUGGUGAAAAGAUUCACAUAGAUGGUGCUUUGUGCAAUGCAGUCUUGCUCUAAUUCAACAGAGUGGACCAUGGUGAUGUAUUUUAAAUUUUAAAUUUUAAAUUAAUGCAUGCUUCAAAGUUUUAACUAGAUGUCACUUCCAUGGAUUUUUGUUCAUUUAAUUGAGAACAGGAUAGGCUAUCAAACUUGAAGUAAUAUAAAAAUCCCUUCAUUACUGUAACUAAUGAAAGAUCAUUAUCUGCGCUUGGUAUUUUGCCAAGGUAUUUGCUGCUCUUUCUAGCCCUAUCUUACAGUUAAGGACAAUGUGAUCUAGUUAACCUUAGAAGCUAUUCCAUGUCAUAUACAAGAGAUCAAGCACAUUAUCUUUGGGCUCAGUUCAAAACUAUAAUAUAUGGGUGGGGUGGGGGCCUAUACCAUUUGCAUAUCACCACUAUUGGUUUAGUUUGGAAGGUUUCUUCUGGAAGAUUGCUUUCUGGAAACAUUUCAAAGAAAUAUAUCUUUUUGUUCUCUUGGUGACGAGCAGCGGCAAUCAAGUCUGUUGACAAACAACCGAGUUGAAAAGUUUGAAAAUUGGUCACAGCCCACGUCCAUGGUUAAGGAAAAGGUCACUGGAAGUGAUCCCUUCUGGGCCUGUUGGAAGCAGGGGAGGUUAACACACCAAGCAACAAAGAACAGAGAUAUGCUGCUACUGAUCUAUAUUUUUUAUUUGAUCAUAAGGCUAAAUUUAUACAGAUUGUGUAACAGAUAUGACCUCAAAAAAAAGCAUCAAAUCAAGCUACUUGUUGAACAAACAACUACCUUCUACAAAAUAACAUCAAAAUUUAACUUAAAAGCAAAAACAUAAAAAUAGCAACAGCAAAAAUAGAAACAUAAAAAUAGCUUCAGCAUUCUAGUAAUCUCGUUGACUUCAAUUGCAUGUGGUUGACGAUUUCAGCCUUUUCCUCAGCAGCUACUAAGGCAUAACUCUCAACACUCCUCCUUGACUUAGGAGGUGCAAACUCCAAGUCUUUCUCAUAGAAACUCAAAUCUUAUUUUAGGAAGAGCUUUAGUCAGAAUAUCUACAUUUUGACUGUCUGUAUUGCAGUAGACUAGUUGUAUAUCUCCUUCUUUCUGUACUUCCCUCAAAAAUUACAAUUUAAUCUUGAAGUGCUUUGUUUUACCAUGAAAAACUGGAUCAUUUGCAAUAGAUAUAGUGGCCUGGUUGUCUACAAACACCUUUGUACUCACUUCUUGCUUCAUAUCCAAAUCUGUCAGCAACUUUCCAAGCCAUAAGGCUUGAUUUACAGCUGUAACAGCAGCAAUAUACUCUGCCUCAGCUGUGGAUUGAGCCACGACUUCUUGCUUCCUUGAACUCCAUGAAAAAACACCAGAACCAAAACUAAAACAAUAGCCUGAAGUACUUCUCAUAUCGUCAACACAACCAGCCCAAUCACUAUCAGAAAAUCCAUGAAAAUUGAAACUUUGAACUUGACUGAACUUAAUGCCAUAAUCCACAGUGCCUUUAACAUUUCUUAUCACACGCUUUGCUGCCUGGAAAUGAAUUUCACUAGCACAAUGCAUGUAUCUCGAAAGUAGACUUACAGCAUGCAUUAUAUCGAGUCUUGUUGCAGUCAAGUACAUUAAGCAUCCAAUCAUGCUUCGAUAAAGUCCUUCAUCUACCUUUUUAGCACCGUCCUCCUUACAGAACUUCUCUUUCUGGUUCAUAGGGGUAGAUGUAGGUUUGCAUUCCUCCAUUUUGAAUUUCUUCAUAAUUUCUUUGGCAUAUUUUUGUUGGCAGAUGAAAAUCUCAUUCUGCUUCUGGUGUACUUCCAUUCCCAAGAAGUAAGACAUCUCAUCUAGGUCUGUCAUCUCAAAAACCUGCUCCAUUUCAGCCUUGAAUUUGUUCACAAACCCUGCAUUACUUCCUGUUACAAGCAAAUCAUCAACAUAUAGAGAAACAAUUAAUAUAUCUUCUUCAAUCUUCUUAAUGUAGAGUGUAAAUUCACUCAAGCUCUUGUGAAAGCCUAAAGUUAGCAGGUGAGUGUCAAUCCUGCUGUACCAAGCUCUAGGGGCUUGUCUUAACCCAUACAAGGCCUUCUUAAGAAGGUAUACUUUUUCUUCUUUUCCUUUGAUAGCAAAACCUUCUGGUUGUUCGACAAAAAUCUCUUCCUCUAAGUAGCCAUUCAAAAAUGCUGACUUCACAUCUAGUUGAUAAAUCUUCCAUUUUCUUUGAGCUACAAGAGCCAACAACAUCCUGAUUGUAUCCAAACGAGCUACUGGUGCAAAGGUUUCCGAAAAGUCAACACCAAACAUUUGUGCAUACCCUUUGACAACCAGCCUUGCUUUAUGUUUGUUUAUAGAACCAUCAGAGUUGAGUUUGGUUCUGUAAACCCACUUAACCCCAAUAGGUUUUUUGUGUGAAGGUCUAUCUACUAGCUCCCAAGUGUUGUUCUUGUCAAUCAUAUCUAGCUCCUCCUGCAUUGCAACCCUCCAUCUUUUAUUUUCAGCAGCUUCAACAAACCCUGCAAGUUCAAGAACAGCUAUAUUACACCUUUGAUAAAUAUCAAAAAGUGUCAUGAAACCUCUAACUGGAAGUUCAUCAACAUCUUCAUCAAUAUAUUGCUGAUUCUGCUCAUCCCAACUCCAUUUCUCCGUUUCCAAAAACUUAACAUCUCUACUUACCACAAUUUUACUAUUUUGUGGCAAGUAGAUUCUGUAAGCUUUUGAGGUGCUGUUGUAUCCAAUGAAAAUUCCUGGUUCUGACUUUUUAUCUAGCUUGUCUCUUUUCACCUGAGGAACAUAAGAGAAACACAAGCAACCAAAGGUCUUUAAAUUCAUUAGCAUAGGCUUAUAAGCAAACCAGGCCUCAAAAGGUGUCUGUUUCUGCAAUGCUUUUGUUGGUAGUCUAUUUAGCAAAAAUACUACUGUAUUUGCAGCUUCAACCCAAAAACUUUUUGGCAGCUCUUUCUCAUGCAAAAGACAUCUUGUCAUUGAUUACUACUCAAAAAGUGCUAUUUGAUAGCCUUUAAUUAAUCCUUUUUAACACUUUUGAGUAGUAGUUUAGGCCUUUUAACUCAAUUGGCAUGUUAAGGAUCCUUUAAAGCAAUUUUGAUCACUUUGUGCAAGUUUUGGUGUUUUUGUUAGUAUUUCGAUCACCAAAGCAAGUCAAGAAUGAGGAGAGCUAUGAGGAAUCUUGGGCAAAGCUUAGAAUUCAAUUGCCAAGAGUGAAUCCGGAUUGCAAGGAGAAAAAGCAAAGAGGAUCAGUCAUGGAGCAUAUUCUUGAUGACAGUCGUAGCAGCCACUUUUGGAUCACUUUCUGAAGUCCAAAUGAUGCAAGCUAUAUACCAUUUCAAAGCUCAGGAAGUCAACAAUCCAAUGCUUCAAACGGUGUGCGAUUCGGAAUUGAAACGAAGAAGUUGCAGCCAUUACAAGCCAGACACUCUAAAGUGUUGCGGAAUCAGCCAUGUGUUGCGAGAAUUUCGCAGCACUUUUGUACAGUAAGGUGUUUCUCCUUCUAACGAUGCACGAACCAUGCCGCGAGAAGGGAGCUGGAAACUUCAAGAUGGAAGCCAACUUUGCAGCCUAGUGAAGAUAGCUCGGUCUUGCAAGAUAAUUUCGCAGCCCUCUUGGGUGUCUGCGAAAUUUCGCAGGCCUCAUUUUUCACCUGCGAAAUGGCUCUUGAAGCCUCCCGAAGCUUGCUACCGACAUUGGGAGAUAUUUUCCAUUAGAUUUUUGUUGUCUAAAUCCCAAAAUACUCCUUGUAAACCACCAAUUACAUGAUUCCUUAGUUUUUAAGUUAGUAAAAAGACCAAAUAUCUUUGUAACAAUUAGUUUUAUAUUUUGUUGUUAUAAAUACCUCUCGGGAGCCUGUUCUCAGGGAGGAGUUCCUUCUGUAAACGUUUGGUAAGCAAGUAAAGUCUAUUUUCUUUCUACUGCCUUACCUUCUCACUUUGUAUUUUCAUUUUAUUUCUAAGUUAUGAAUUCUCUGAGGAGUUUUCCCCAAAGAAUGAGUAACUAAACCUCCAAUUCCUUGGAGCUAAGGUUGCCGGGGAAGGUUCCAAGUGCAAGAAUGCAAAGCUCUGUGGUUUUAGCUAGUAAUGAAGAGGAAGUGAAAUCCUUUAGUGAUUUCAAUGUUUUUAGUUAACUUAAAACACUUUGGAGUCACCUGGGCCAACACUUGGUAAGGCAAGUGAUUUCCAACCAUGGAAAUGCACUAGUUUACCCCUUGCGAGCCUCUGGUAGGUGACUUCAAGGUAGGAUUUUCUGGAAUUACCAACACUUGGUAAGCUUUUGGACUCCUAGGAGACAUCCAUUAGUUAUCUCUUGCGAGUUUGUGAAGGGAAUCCAAGGUUAAAGAUCACCUUGAAUGGUAAGUGCUCGUGAGAGGCAUGAACCAUUGCAAGUUGUAUCAGUGAGAGAAUUAAAGUGAAAUCUAAUUGAAGGAGUCUUUGUACAUCACCGGUUAGAGAAUUGACUAUAAGUUGAAUCUCUAAUGCGAGGAAAUGAACCAACUGACCAGAGCCGUGUCUUUUGCAUGAGGAACCACCCCAGUGAACCUAAAUCUCCAAGGAAUGUUUUUUUCUUCCUAAAUUAUUCCAAACUUCUGUUAAGUUAGUUAGUUUAAAUCUCAACCUUUACAAAUCAAAGUUUGUGUUUUAUUCCUUAAGCUAACCGUGAAAUGAAACAAGACCAAUUCACUUGGAAUUGGUAUCAUUGAUUGCCUGCAAAUCAUUCCCAGUGAACGAUCCUAGAGCCACUAUACUAUAGUAGCUUUGUAUUUGCUACCCUAGUGUAUGGUGUUAUAGGUAUAAAUUUUGUUGAUCACUUCCUCAAUCAAGGAGCACCAGCUGAACACAAAUCAGCUGAGACACCAAUUAGGCAUGAGUCAAAUGGCGCCGUUGCCGGGGAAUGAAUGUCAAGUUCAUUGUGAUACCAUUGUUGAGCACUUGUGAUUUUCAUCACAAGUUGGUAAAGUUUCUUUCACUUUACUAAUUUUCAUUCUUUCUUUGUUUAUUUACAAUCUAAGUUUAUCUUUUUAAAUUUUAGUCUAGUUUAAUUUUGUUGUUGUAGCCCUGUUUUUCUUGUUGUCCUCUGUUUUCAUUUUUUUUUUCAGGUAGAUACUAGUUGUGUAUGCCCAAGUGGAUACGAGACAUAGGAGGUAGGCUUGUUAAGUGUGAUACACCUCAGAAAGGAGAAUUUGAAGUAAUCUUGAAUAUCAUGGAGGCUGCACCUGAAGAUCAGCAUAGUCACCAAGGUCGUCAAGACAAUCUCAAUGAAUUCAGAUCAAUGAGGGACCGUAUGCAUCCACCUCGUAUGAGUACACCAUCAUGUAUAGUGCCCCCUACAGAGCAGCUAGUGAUCAGACCAUAUCUUGUUCCACUUCUACCAACUUUCCAUGGGAUGGAAAGUGAGAAUCCGUAUGCACACAUCAAGGAAUUUGAAGAUGUUUGUAAUACAUUCCAAGAAGGAGGAGCUUCAAUUGACUUGAUGAGGCUUAAGUUAUUUCCUUUUACUUUAAAGGAUAAGGCCAAAAUUUGGCUUAAUUCUUUAAGGCCAAGGAGUAUCCGCUCUUGGACUGAUUUACAAGCUGAGUUCCUUAAGAAAUUUUUUCCUACUCAUAGAACAAAUGGCUUGAAAAGGCAAAUUUCAAACUUCUCAGCUAAAGAGAAUGAGAAAUUCUAUGAGUGUUGGGAAAGAUACAUGGAAGCUAUAAAUGCUUGUCCUCACCAUGGCUUUGAUACUUGGCUAUUGGUGAGCUAUUUUUAUGAUGGUAUGUCCUCCUCAAUGAAGCAACUCCUCGAGACAAUGUGUGGAGGAGAUUUCAUGAGCAAAAAUCCAGAGGAAGCUAUGGAUUUCUUGAGCUAUGUAGCUGAUGUUUCAAGGGGAUGGGAUGAACCAACUAAAGGAGAAGUGGGAAAGAUGAAGUCUCAGUUGAAUGCUUACAAUGCAAAGGCUGGGAUGUAUAAUUUGAAAGAAGAUGAUGACAUGAAAGCAAAGUUGGCAGCUAUGACAAGAAGAUUGGAGGAGCUGGAGCUGAAAAGAAUGCAUGAAGUGCAAGCUGUUGCUGAAGCACCAGUGCAAGUGAAGCUGUGUCCCAAUUGUCAAUCAUUUGAACAUUUGGUGGAGGAGUGCCCUGCAAUUUCAGUUGAAAGGGAAAUGUAUAGAGAUCAAGCAAAUGUUGUUGGACAAUUUAGGCCCAAUAACAAUGCUCCUUAUGGAAAUACCUACAAUUCAAGUUGGAGGAAUCAUCCAAAUUUCUCAUAGAAGGCCAGAGCAACUCAAUACCAACAGCCGGAUCCACCAUCUCAGCAAUCUUCAAGUAUUGAACAAAUAAUAGCCAAUCUCAGCAAGGUAGUGGGAGAUUUUGUGGGAAAGCAAGAAGCCACCAAUGCUCGAGUUGAUCAAAGAAUGGAUAGAAUGGAGAGUGUGUUGAACAAAAGAAUGGAUGGAAUGCAAAAUGAUAUGAACCAAAAGUUUGAUAACAUCCAAUAUUCAAUUUCAAGGCUUACAAAUUUGAAUACACUGCAAGAAAAAGGAAGAUUUCCUUCUCAACCUAACCAAAAUCCCAAAGGUGUCCAUGAAGUGGAAAGCCAUGAGGGAGAAUCAUCACAGGUGAAAGAUGUGAAAGCUUUGAUCACUCUAAGGAGUGGUAAGAAAAUUGAGCAGCCAACACCCAUGCCACAUGUUGAGAAAGAAGAAGGGAUAAAGAAAGGAAAGGAAAUAGAAGAUAAAGACAGUGAGAUCAGUGAAGAAAAGAAGGACUCUGAUUCAACAAUCAAAGCAAUUCCAGAGAAAGAGCUUCUGAAGGAAGAAAUGCUGAAGAAAUCAACUUUUCCACCUUUUCCUCAAGCAUUACAGGGGAAAAAGGGGGUUAGAAAUGCAGCUGAAAUCCUUGAAGUCUUAAGACAAGUAAAAGUUAAUAUUCCACUGCUGGAUAUGAUCAAACAAGUUCCAACGUAUGCAAAAUUCCUAAAGGACUUGUGUACUAUCAAAAGAGGGGUUGACUGUAAACAAGAAAGCCUUCUUGACUGAGCAAGUAAGUGCAAUCUUACAAUGCAAGUCUCCUUUGAAGUACAAAGACCCUGGAAGUCCUACCAUUUCAGUCAUGAUUGGAGGAAAGGUAGUGGAGAAAGCCUUGCUAGACUUGGGAGCAAGUGUGAAUUUGCUUCCAUACUCUGUCUACAAGCAACUGGGACUUGGAGAGUUGAAGCCAACAGCAAUCACUUUAUCUUUGGCAGAUAGAUCAGUGAAAAUUCCAAGAGGAGUAAUUGAGGAUGUAUUGGUUCAAGUGGAUAAUUUCUACUAUCCAGUAGAUUUUGUUGUUCUUGAUACUGAUCCAACUGUAAAGGAAGCUAAUUUAGUUCCUAUCAUCCUUGGAAGGCCAUUUCUUGCAACUUCAAAUGCAAUCAUCAACUGUAGAAAUGGGCUUAUGCAACUCACUUUUGGUAACAUGACACUGGAUCUCAAUAUUUUCUAUAUGUCUAAAAAGCAAAUCACUCCUGAGGAAGAAGAAGGUCCAGAAGAGCUAUGUAUUAUUGAUACUUUGGUGGAGGAGCACUGCAAUCAGCAUAUGCAAGAUAAGUUGAAUGAAAGUCUUGUGGAUAUUGAGGAAGGUUUUUCUGAAUCUCCUAUUGGGCUUGCUACUCUACAAAGUUGGAGAAAGAUAGAAGGAAUUCUACCUUUGUUCAAUGAAAAAGAGGAGGCAACUGUUGAAGAAGAAAUUCCAAAACUCAAUUUGAAGCCUUUACCUGUGGAGCUGAAAUAUACAUAUCUUGAAGCAAAUAAUCAAUGUCCUGUUGUGAUAUCCUCAUCUCUGACCAGUCAUCAAGAGAAUUGUUUAAUGGAAGUUCUCAUGAGGUGUAAGAAGGCAAUAGGAUGGCAAAUAUCUGACUUGAAAGGCAUUAGUCCUUUAGUUUGUACUCAUCAUAUAUAUAUGGAGGAGGAAGCAAAGCCAAUUCGUCAAUUUCAAAGAAGGUUGAAUCCUCAUCUACAAGAGGUGGUGCGAGCUGAGGUGCUGAAGCUACUUCAAGCAGGAAUCAUUUACCCUAUUUCUGAUAGCCCUUGGGUGAGUCCUACUCAAGUGGUACCAAAGAAGUCAGGGAUCACAGUGAUUCAAAAUGAAAAAGGGGAAGAAAUUACUACACGCCUCACUUCAGGUUGGAGGGUGUGUAUUGAUUAUAGAAAGCUGAAUGCUGUCACCAGGAAGGAUCAUUUUCCAUUGCCAUUUAUUGAUCAAGUGCUGGAGAGAGUCUCUGGACAUCCAUUUUAUUGUUUCUUGGAUGGGUAUUCAGGCUAUUUUCAAAUUGAAAUUGAUUUGGCAGAUCAGGAAAAGACCACUUUUACAUGUCCAUUUGGAACAUUUGCUUAUAGAAGAAUGCCUUUUGGUUUAUGCAAUGCACCUGCUACAUUUCAAAGAUGUAUGUUGAGUAUUUUCAGUGAUAUGGUGGAGAGAAUUAUGGAGGUUUUCAUGGAUGACAUCACCGUAUAUGGAGGUACAUUUGAGGAGUGCUUGGUUAAUUUGGAAGCAGUUCUUCAUAGAUGCAUUGAAAAAGAUUUGGUGCUGAACUGGGAGAAAUGCCAUUUUAUGGUACGUCAAGGAAUUGUCCUUGGCCAUAUCAUCUCUGAAAGAGGCAUUGAAGUUGAUAAAGCAAAGGUGGAGCUUAUUGCCAAAUUACCAUCUCCAACAACUGUGAAAGGAGUAAGACAGUUCCUUGGCCAUGCAGGGUUCUAUAGGAGGUUUAUAAAAGGUUUUUCAAGUCUUUCAAAACCUCUUUGUGAGCUGUUAGCUAAGGAUGCUAAGUUUAUAUGGGAUGAAAGGUGUCAGCAUAGCUUUGAUCAACUGAAGAAGUUUUUAACAACAACUCCAAUAGUGAGAGCCCCUAACUGGCAAUUACCUUUUGAACUGAUGUGUGAUGCCAGUGACUUUGCUAUAGGAGCUGUGCUUGGCCAAAGAGAAGAUGGGAAGCCCUAUGUGAUUUACUAUGCAAGUAAAACACUAAAUGAAGCUCAGAGGAACUACACAACUACAGAGAAAGAAUUGUUAGCUGUGGUAUUUGCUUUGGACAAAUUUCGAGCUUAUUUAGUGGGGUCUUUCAUCAUUGUCUUCACUGACCAUUCAGCCUUGAAGUAUUUAUUGACAAAGCAAGAUGCAAAAGCAAGGUUGAUUAGAUGGAUUCUAUUGUUACAAGAGUUCGAUCUUCAAAUCAAAGAUAAGAAAGGAGUGGAGAAUGUAGUAGCUGACCACUUGUCAAGGUUAGUUAUAGCACAUAAUUCCCAUCCCUUGCCUAUCAAUGAUGAUUUUCCUGAAGAAUCACUCAUGUUCCUAGUGAAAACUCCUUGGUAUGCUCAUAUUGCUAAUUAUUUAGUAACUGGGGAAAUUCCAAGUGAGUGGAAUGCACAGGACAGGAAGCACUUCUUUGCCAAAAUUCAUGCUUAUUAUUGGGAAGAGCCCUUUCUCUUUAAGUAUUGUGCAGAUCAGAUUAUUAGGAAGUGUGUCCCUGAAGAUGAGCAGCAAGGGAUUCUAUCUCAGUGUCAUGAGAAUGCAUGUGGAGGCCACUUUGCCUCUCAGAAAACAGCCAUGAAGGUAUUACAAUCAGGGUUUACUUGGCCAUCUCUUUUCAAAGAUGCCCACAUCAUGUGUAGAAAUUGUGAUAGAUGCCAAAGGCUUGGAAAGCUAACAAAAAGAAAUCAAAUGCCUAUGAACCCCAUUCUGAUAGUUGAGAUAUUUGAUGUUUAGGGCAUUGACUUCAUGGGACCUUUCCCAAUGUCUUUUGGUAAUUCUUACAUUUUGGUGGGGGUAAAUUAUGUUUCUAAAUGGGUUGAGGCAAUCCCCUGUAAGCAAAAUGAUCACAGGGUGGUUCUCAAGUUUCUUAAAGAGAACAUUUUCUCAAGAUUUGGGGUGCCCAAGGCCAUAAUCAGUGAUGGAGGAGCUCAUUUUUGCAACAAACCUUUUGAAGCUCUGUUAUCCAAGUAUGGAGUGAAGCAUAAGGUAGCCACACCUUAUCAUCCUCAGACAUCCGGGCAAGUUGAGCUAGCUAACAGGGAAAUAAAGAACAUUUUGAUGAAAGUGGUGAAUUCCAACAGAAAAGAUUGGUCUAUUAGGCUUCAUGAUUCAUUGUGGGCAUAUAGAACAGCUUAUAAAACUAUUCUUGGGAUGUCUCCCUAUCGUCUUGUCUAUGGCAAAGCAUGCCAUCUCCCUGUGGAAGUUGAAUACAAAGCUUGGUGGGCAAUAAAGAAGCUGAAUAUGGACUUGAUCAAGGCCGGAGAAAAGAGAUUUCUAGACCUUAAUGAGAUGGAGGAAUUAAGAAAUAAUGCUUAUAUCAAUUCCAAAGUUGCAAAACAGAGGAUGAAGAAGUGGCAUGAUCAACUCAUCUCCAACAAGGAAUUUCAGGAAGGGCAAAAAGUUUUGAUGUAUGACACAAGACUCCAUAUCUUUCCUGGGAAGCUCAAAUCAAGGUGGAUUGGUCCAUUUGUUAUUCACCGAGUAUAUUCCAAUGGAGUGGUGGACUUAUUGAAUUCCAAUGGCAAGGAUAGCUUUAAAGUCAAUGGAUAUCGUCUCAAGCCGUUCAUGGAGUCAUUCAAAUCAGAAAAGGAGGCAAUCAACCUCCUUGAACCUCAAAAAGCCUAAGUGAAAAGGGUUUGCUGGACGUGGCUUUACCACAGUCCAAAAUUUUUGUAAAUUUUGUAAAUUUUCAAGUUGUUUCUAUACUUUUGAUUUUAGUUUUUGAUCUUAAAUCAUGUUUUUAGGUGUGUUUUAAUCGUUUUAAAUGAUCCCAGGUGGAAGAAAUUUCAAGGGGAUUGAAAGAAAAAAAAUCGGGUCGAAAUUGGAGCCGAAACAGAGCAAAAACAGGGGAAAAACAGAGCUCUGCGAAAUUUCGCAGGGUGAAGGAAACCUCUGCGAAAUGAGCAUUUUGUUGCGAAACCAUUCCGCAGCACUGUAGAAGCCUCUGCGAGUGUAUUUCGCAGCUGCGAAAGUGAAUUUGGCACACGAGUGCCACUUCGCAGUACAGUAGCAUCCAUUUGGCAGCUGCGAAACUCAUUGCGAAAUGGAAAAGCGUGAUUUCGCACCAAAAGUCCCAUUCCGCAGGGUAUUUCGCAAUUGCGAAAGUGGUUUUGGCACACGAGUGCCACUCCGCAGCACAGUAACAUCAAUUUCGCAGCUGCGAAACUCACUGCGAAGUUGCUGCGAAAAUGGCAAGUUGCUGCGAAAUUGGCGUUUAGUUGCGAAACUUAAACUGACCCCUGAGCUUCCGUUUUUCCUAUUUAUACCGGUCAAAAGUGCUGCGAAAAGGGUUUCAAAAAUCAGAGCACCAUUCUCGCAGCCCCUUCAUCUUCUUCGCCAAGCCACGCCGUCCGAACCUCCGGUCGUCUUCUCCGUUUAGCAGCGCCGGCCAAAGAUCGAUAUUCCAAAAUGGCACGAACGCGAGGGGCAAAAUCUUCAUCCCCUUCGAAUCGCAAAAGGAGUCUGCGAAAGGAGCCAAGUCCAGGUUCUGCUCCAGAACCUGCUCCAAAGCCUUCGCCGUCGAGACCACAACCUUCUCCAGUGAAGCCGGCGCCACUAAAGCCGCCGGCAAGACGAUAUUUGACAAGGUCAGGCGGUUGGCCAUUGAAGAAGAAGCCCAGGGUUGAGAGCUCUGAACCAAUUGAUUUGACUGAGCAAUCCCCUGAGCAGUCCCCAAAUCCUUCACCAGUUCAAACUCCAGUGCCGUCACCGGUUCCCUCGCCAAUUCCCUCACCUGAAGCAACUCCAAUUCCAUCGUCGGUACCAUCUCCGGCACCCCAAGAAAAAGCUCAGGAGCCUCAAGCGCCAAUUCCAGAGCCCCAAAUUGCAGCUGAAGCACCUCUGGAAGAAGUGAUCCGAAGGCCAAUGCUGCCCCAGCCCCCAAUCGAAGGAAACUUGGAUUGUCGAACACGGGCAUUCCAUUCUGAGCUUUGCUUCGAUUUAACAGCAUUCAGAGUGAGGCCAGAGCUUGCCCAAUCCUUCCAGCUGCUGAGGAGAUAUCAUAUGGAGCAUCUGCUAGCUCCAAGGGAUUUUUUCUAUCCCCGGGUAGUCACGGACUUCUACCAGACCAUGACAACCAAAGAAGUAAGAAAUCCAACUCUGAUCCAUUUCAUAAUUGAUGGAAGGCAUGGUAUUUUGGGAGCAAGACACAUUGCUGAAGCUCUGCAAAUUCCUUUUGAGCCAACCCAAUUCGACAAUUUUAAAGCUUGGGUAAAUCCUACUGAGUUAGAGAUGGUUCGCACACUAACCAGAGGAGCUGCAAAUCGAUCACACCUGUUGAGGGGGGAGCUACCUCCAGUGAUGUUUUUGAUUGAUGCCUUUUUGAGGCAUAAUAUCUAUCCCCUGCAGCAUUGGACCCAAAGAAGGGGAAUUCUCCUGGAAGCUUUGUACAAGAUGUCAGAAGGAUUCUUCUUUGGGCCCCAUCAUCUUAUCAUGGCAGCCCUUCUAUACUUUGAGGAAAAGGUUCACAAGAAGAAACUUCAAAGAGCAGAUUGCAUUCCACUCCUCUUCCCAAGGCUGCUAUGCCAAGUUUUGGAGCAUCUCGGAUACCCCUCUGAGCCUCAGCAGGAAAGAAAGAGAAUAUGCCGUGAGCCAUUUACUCUUGAUAAAUGGAAUAAUAUGACGGCCUACAAAAUUGAUCAGCCUGGGCAGCCUCAGCCAGCAGCAAGGAGAGCCUCCCCAAGACAUGCACCUGAAGGUAUAACACUUGCUACUCCUGCCAUCCCUCGAGCUUCACCAGCUGCACCUGCUGCAUCACAGCCAUCCACAUCAGCUGAGCCGAGGAUGGCCAUCCCUAUAUCCGAAUAUCGAGAGCUGUGCCGAGCAUUGGAGACUCUUACAGCUUCCCAGAGCAAUCUUGCUCAAGAGUUGGCAGCCAUCAAAGCAUGCCAGGAGCAGAUGUUAGCCUCUCAGGCUCAACAAGCUGCCAUCCUAAGGCAGCUUCAAGUCCAUUUCGAUCUGCCACAAGCUGUAGAGCCCUCCACUGAGACUCCACCAGAGCCACACUCUCAGCCUUCAGAGUCUCUUCCUCCAGAGCCAGAAGCCCCAACUGAUCCACCUACAGAGGAGGCGGAUCCUUCUGCUUAGCACCAUCACCCCACUCAUCAGACAUUAUAUAUAUUUGCUGUUUAUGUUUUUAUGCAUGUUUGUUUUGUUUUAGUUGAAAUGAAAUCCCAGUAUUUUGGUACUAUAUAUGGGAUUCCUUGUGAUUACUUGUCCUUAGCAUUGUACUCGAAUGAAUUGAAAGUAAUACAAGUUGAAUUUUUCUUGUUAAAAGUUAGCAUUAAAAUUCUCCUUAUUUCCUUUUCUCACAUAUUCUAUUCUUUUUGAAACAUGUGGUUUUCCCCAAUCAAUAUUCGAAUUUGAUAUCAGCAUGGAGGUACCACUUCCUCCCUUUUAUUACAGUCACUCAAAUCACAUUGAGGACAAUGCUCAGUUCGGUUGGGGGGUAUGAGGAAGGAAGUAUUCUAAAUCUUUUUGGUAUUGCAAUUAUAUUGGUUAAUUAGUUGUAGAUUUUACGUUUUACUCUUGUUACUCUAUUCUCCAUGAAUUUUGAGGAAAAAUUUUCAAAUUAAACCAAGAGAAAUUGAACUGUUGUUUUUCACUUGACUUAGAGUAUGGAUUAUGCUUACUAAAGUGGUUCAAUUGUUGAAACUUCUACUGAAAUUGAAUUGAGUUCUUCCAUUUUAAGCUAUCCACACACUGUGCACAUUAGUUUCUGAUUAUAAGAUGAAAAGCUAUUUCCCUCUUGACUUAGGAUAAUUUUGGGACUUGGUAUAUUUGACCUCAUUUGAUAAAAAUUGAAACACCCUGCAAAAGGCCAAUGAGCCUUUGAAAUAAAGAAAGAUGUUUGCUUGCCUUGAAACCCGAGCAAGGUCUGAGGGGCAUAUGGUGAAAGCCUUUAAAGCCUGGUGCCCUAAGCCUUAAUUGGUUGGGAGUCACCGACCUCAAUGCUCGUUACAAGGGUGAAUAGGUAGAGCUAGCAUAUGGUAGAUGCUUGGGUAUUAGAAAUUCAUUCUUAAAAGUCCAGGGAAAAAUCCGAGGAGUUAGUGGUUGAAAGAUCCUUAAAACUUGGUGCCCUAAACCUUAAUUGGUUGGGAGUCAUCGAUGGACCCCCAUUACAUGGACAAGUCAGAAAGAGUACCCCAUAAAGCUACUUUAAAAAAAAAAAAAAAAAAAAAAAAAAGAUGAUGAAAGUGUGUUCUUUUCUUAUUGAUUUUGGUCAGAUUGCUAAAGUGUUGAAAAGAGAUAGGUUGGGGGGGGAGACUAGUUUAGCAUAUUAUUCUCGGAAUCUAAGGAACCAAUACACAUAGAUUUUUGUGGAAGAUUGAAGUUUAGUUCUUAGAAAGUGAAAUGAUUUUAAAACUUCAGUUUGCAUAAUGCACUCCCUUGAUUGACAGUGUUUAGCAUAGGUGUUAUGACUCUUGUUGAGAUUUGGGUUUGUAUUUCUUUAAUGAUUCAUGUGAGAAGUAAAUCAUCAUGCCACUUAAGAAUUAUUUUCCUUUCAGCAUGAUGUUGUAAAUUUUAGAUUAGUUUGCUAUUUAUUUUUAUUUUUCUCUCCUUUAUUGCUAAGGGACUAGCAAUAUGUCGGUUGGGGGGAGUGAUUACUACUCAAAAAGUGCUAUUUGAUAGCCUUUAAUUAAUCCUUUUUAACACUUUUGAGUAGUAGUUUAGGCCUUUUAACUCAAUUGGCAUGUUAAGGAUCCUUUAAAGCAAUUUUGAUCACUUUGUGCAAGUUUUGGUGUUUUUGUUAGUAUUUCGAUCACCAAAGCAAGUCAAGAAUGAGGAGAGCUAUGAGGAAUCUUGGGCAAAGCUUAGAAUUCAAUUGCCAAGAGUGAAUCCGGAUUGCAAGGAGAAAAAGCAAAGAGGAUCAGUCAUGGAGCAUAUUCUUGAUGACAGUCGUAGCAGCCACUUUUGGAGCACUUUCUGAAGUCCAAAUGAUGCAAGCUAUAUACCAUUUCAAAGCUCAGGAAGUCAACAAUCCAAUGCUUCAAACGGUGUGCGAUUCGGAAUUGAAACGAAGAAGUUGCAGCCAUUACAAGCCAGACACUCUAAAGUGUUGCGGAAUCAGCCAUGUGUUGCGAGAAUUUCGCAGCACUUUUGUACAGUAAGGUGUUUCUCCUUCUAACGAUGCACGAACCAUGCCGCGAGAAGGGAGCUGGAAACUUCAAGAUGGAAGCCAACUUGGCAGCCUAGUGAAGAUAGCUCGGUCUUGCAAGAUAAUUUCGCAGCCCUCUUGGGUGUCUGCGAAAUUUCGCAGGCCUCAUUUUUCACCUGCGAAAUGGCUCCUGAAGCCUCCCGAAGCUUGCUACCGACAUUGGGAGAUAUUUUCCAUUAGAUUUUUGUUGUCUAAAUCCCAAAAUACUCCUUGUAAACCACCAAUUACAUGAUUCCUUAGUUUUUAAGUUAGUAAAAAGACCAAAUAUCUUUGUAACAAUUAGUUUUAUAUUUUGUUGUUAUAAAUACCUCUCGGGAGCCUGUUCUCAGGGAGGAGUUCCUUCUGUAAACGUUUGGUAAGCAAGUAAAGUCUAUUUUCUUUCUACUGCCUUACCUUCUCACUUUGUAUUUUCAUUUUAUUUCUAAGUUAUGAAUUCUCUGAGGAGUUUUCCCCAAAGAAUGAGUAACUAAACCUCCAAUUCCUUGGAGCUAAGGUUGCCGGGGAAGGUUCCAAGUGCAAGAAUGCAAAGCUCUGUGGUUUUAGCUAGUAAUGAAGAGGAAGUGAAAUCCUUUAGUGAUUUCAAUGUUUUUAGUUAACUUAAAACACUUUGGAGUCACCUGGGCCAACACUUGGUAAGGCAAGUGAUUUCCAACCAUGGAAAUGCACUAGUUUACCCCUUGCGAGCCUCUGGUAGGUGACUUCAAGGUAGGAUUUUCUGGAAUUACCAACACUUGGUAAGCUUUUGGACUCCUAGGAGACAUCCAUUAGUUAUCUCUUGCGAGUUUGUGAAGGGAAUCCAAGGUUAAAGAUCACCUUGAAUGGUAAGUGCUCGUGAGAGGCAUGAACCAUUGCAAGUUGUAUCAGUGAGAGAAUUAAAGUGAAAUCUAAUUGAAGGAGUCUUUGUACAUCACCGGUUAGAGAAUUGACUAUAAGUUGAAUCUCUAAUGCGAGGAAAUGAACCAACUGACCAGAGCCGUGUCUUUUGCAUGAGGAACCACCCCAGUGAACCUAAAUCUCCAAGGAAUGUUUUUUUCUUCCUAAAUUAUUCCAAACUUCUGUUAAGUUAGUUAGUUUAAAUCUCAACCUUUACAAAUCAAAGUUUGUGUUUUAUUCCUUAAGCUAACCGUGAAAUGAAACAAGACCAAUUCACUUGGAAUUGGUAUCAUUGAUUGCCUGCAAAUCAUUCCCAAUGAACGAUCCUAGAGCCACUAUACUAUAGUAGCUUUGUAUUUACUACCCUAGUGUAUGGUGUUAUAGGUAUAAAUUUUGUUGAUCACUUCCUCAAUCAAGGAGCACCAGCUGAACACAAAUCAGCUGAGACACCAAUUAGGCAUGAGUCAGUCAUCUCCAUUAUUGUUUUAUUUUUUCUUUCCACCACCCCAUUUUGUUGUGGGGUGUAUGGUGCAAUGAGCUGGUGAUCUAUGCCUGCAUCUUCACAAAAUUUGUUGAAUUUUUCUGAAGUAUAUUCUGUACCAUUAUUCGACCUUAUAACCUUGAUUCUGUAUUCACUUUGAUUUUCAACCAUGGCCUUAUAUCUCAAAAACACAUCAGCAACCUCAGCUUUGUAAGUGAGAAAAUAAAUCCAACAAAAUCUUGUGAAGUCAUCAAUAAAUGCAAUAUAGUACUUACUCCCUUUCAAAGAUGGUGUCUUUUGAGGUCCACUCACAUCUGUGUGAACCAAUUGUAGUUUCUGUGUUGAUUUCCAUGCUGCUUUUUGAGGAAAAGGAAGUCUUGUUUGCUUCCCAUAUUGAUAGGCUGCACAUAUAGGAAGUUCUUCUUCCAAAUCAGGGAGUCCUUCUACAAUCUAAUUCUUCUUCAUGUAGAGCACGGUAUUGUGGUGGAAAUGCCCUAAUCUUUUAUGCCAAAGCAUUGUAUUGUUCUCGUGUUGUGCAGCAGUAAUUUGCUCAUCUUCUAACAUAUUUAAGGCAAAACUUUUGCCUUUCAUUUUUAUGUUGAACACCUCUUUGCCUUCAGCAUCCUUGAUUAUGCAAUUUUUGUCUUCAAAACAAACUUUAAACCCUUUCUCAACAAGCUGUCCAACACUUAGCAAAUUUUGGUCAAUGUCAGGCACAAACAAAACAUCAGAAAUGAGCUUUAAACCUGUUAGGCUUUCAAUAGCUAAUGUUCUUUUACCUUUUACUGGAAUAUACUCACCAUUUCCUAUUCUAACUUUGGAAAUAGUUGUCCUAUCAAUCUCCCUAAAGCGAUCUUGAUCAUGUCAUGUGGUUUGUGCAACCACUGUCCACGAGCCAGCUUUCAGAGGUGCUACCGUUUGCAAAACAUGUUGCUGAAAAUAGUUGUUCCUCCUGGUAUUGUUCAGCUGCUACAUUGGUUUCUCCCUGCUGCUGCUGAGUUCUACAGAUCCUUUCUAUGUGUCCAUGUCUACCACAUUUGUUGCAUUUCACAUCUGGUCUCCACCAACAUUUUUGUUGAGGAUGAUUUGUUUUCUUGCAAUGAGGACAGGGUGGAUAGGUUCCAGUUUUUUUAUUGUUGUUGUUGCUUGGCUUAUUGUUGUUCUUUUUGUUCUUCCUCCUUCUUGUGUUACCUUCAUUGGUCUGUGUCUUUGCUUGAAAAGCUCCUUCUACAGAACUUCCUUGCCUCAUGAGUCUUCUUUGUUCCAAAGCUUGUAAAGCAUUUAGUAGUUCUGCCAAGGUGAUACUUGACAAAUCUUUUGUGUUUUCCAAAGAAGAAAUUGUAGCUUCAUAUUUUUCAGGAAUUGUGACAAAAUUGUUUUGAACAACUCUUUCAUCAGAAAACUCUUUACCUAGCAACCUCACCUUGUUUGCUAUGGUAAGAAGUUGUUCUGCAUAAUCUUUUAUGGUUUGAGACUCUUUCAUCCUCACCAUUUCAAAUUCUCGAAUUAGAUUCAUUACCUGCACAUUUCUGACUCUUUCAUUGCCUUGAUAUUCUUCCCGUAGAUGCUUCCAGAUUUCUGCAACAGAUUCAAGUUGCAUGAUUCUGGUGAGAAUUAAUGGUGAGACUACAGAAAAUAAGCAAGCCUUGGCCUUAGCCUUCCUCGUCUUUUUCUCCUUAUGGUUUUUCAUCUGUGACACAGUUGGAUUGGCUCCAAGUGGAGAAAUUUCAUAAUCUUCCUCUAUUGCUUCCCAGACAUCAAGAGCCUGUAGAUGAACAGUCAUCCUGACAGCCUAAGUUUGGUAAUUUUCUCCAUUGAAGACUAGUGGUGCUGCUGUGAAGCUUGCUUCUUCCAUUUCUGCAAGGUUUUCAGAUUCAGGUUUGGUAUACGGUGUUUAGGCUCACACACCUCACUGGUCCCUCAAGACAAAAAUUGCUCUGAUACCAAACUGUUGGAAGCAGGCGAGGUUAACACACCAAGCAACAGAGAACAGAGAUAUGCUGCUACUGAUCUAUAUUUUUUAUUUGAUCAUAAGGCUGAAUUUAUACAGAUUGUGUAACAUAUAUGACCUCAAAAAAAGCAUCAAAUCAAGCUACUUGUUGAACAAAAAACUACCUCCUACAAAAUAGCAUCAGAAUUUAACUUAAAAGCAAAAACAUAAUAAUAGCAACAGCAAAAACAGAAACAUAAAAAUAGCUUCAACAUUCUAGUAAUCUCAUUGACUUCAAUUGCAUGUGGUUGACGAUUUCAGCCUUUUCCUCAGCAGCUACUAAGGCAUAACUCUCAACAGGGCCUCUUAAUUUCCAUUCUGGCAUCUAUAUGACCUGAUAAAUAGAAAGAAAAAAAAACAGAAGAAAAGCGGCACCUGGGUUCAUAGUAAGCAUCAAGACAGGAUGCUGAAAGAAGGGAGAGAGGAGAUUGCAAGUCCAAUCCUGAUAAAAUAUCAACAAAGAGUAUUAAAUGGGGCCAACAUAAAGACCCAUUAAGGUCAGCAGAUGGCAUGGCAUUUUUCUCCUUAAGUUUUCCAUGAUUAGGCUUGAAGUCAAAAUUUCACAUGUAAAUUUGUAUUUCUACAUUUCCCACUGACGACACCCAACUUCAACUUGAGUUAGAAUAACAUUGUGUGAACUUAUCUGGCCCUCAAAAUUUACUGUGAAGUGCUUUCUGCGUGUGAAGAUUCAGAAAAGCACCAAGGGAACAUGUAUGGUCUGCCUUUUUCUGAUGUUAUGUUUGUCUCUAAUUCUGUUCCAUGUCAUGGUAAAUGUUCACAUUGCUUGUAUGGAACACACCAGGAUCACUUUUUCAGGUUUAGGGGGAUACAAAAGGCUUCAUAUUGGGUUCAAUGCUUUUAAUGUGUUCAUUGGACAAAUCUGAAUUAUCAUACGCAUUUAGAUAAGAACAAUAAUGUGAAACCCUAGUUACACCUCCCCUGCAUAACCCCAACCCUGCUUGCUCUAUUUCAGUUUACUCACAAGUUUUACUGGUUCUUAUAAGUCAAGAAAAGGCAACUGAUGUUGGAUCGACUCUCUUCCAUGUAAAAAAUGCAACUUUUAUACAUAUAAAAGAACUUCUUCCCCUCACCAAUGUGGGAUUUCAUAGAUUUAUUCUGGAAACACAUCAAAGGAACAUCUUUUCUCUUGGGUGACCCUAAGUGGUGAGUCAGAUCAUUUGCAUGCCAUUGAGUUGCACAGUUGGAUAAAUGCACCUGCCUCCUGGGCUCCAGAGUUAAAAGGGUGGAUCCCUGGAUUGCAACCCUCUUGGCAUCUUGGUUUCUAUUCCAACAUCCACAUGACUUGACAAAACAAAAAACAGAAUAAAAUCAGCACUAUAUUCAUGCUAAGCACCAAUACAUGAUGGAAAUCAUUGCUUAAAGAUUUGGGGUCGUUUUAGGUUUUGACUGCCUCCUACCACCUCACCUAAUGACAAGUUUUUAUGCUUACAAAUCAAAUAUCGUUCUUCAUUAUAUUAAAAUCAUUUUAAGAUUUCAGAUCCAUCUGCUAAUUAUGAUUAUGAUAACAUUUAUUCACCUGUGCUUCUCAUUUUCGACACACAAGGCAUCUAGGUUUGCAGGAUUUCCUUAUUAGAUGAGAUAAAUGAGUACGUAUGGUUAUGUAUCCAGCAUUCAUUAACCAUGGUAUGUGACAUUUAGAAUUAAGAUAGCAAGCAAACUUUCCCUGCAGCUAGAGUAAAUUGUGAUUUCUUAGCCUCUAUGAGUGGUUCCCAAAUCAAAUUAACAUAGUGAAAUAUACGUAGUCCAGUGAAAGGAAAUGUAAAUUAUAAACUAACAGCACUACACUACUGGUAACAAUCGAUACUCUCUAUAUAAUGCAAUAAACAAUGUCACAAUUGCCUACAAGCAAGGCACAAACACUAGAACAAGUAAAGCACAAACCUUUCCCAACAGUUCCCAGUGACUGAUGCAUAUCAUACCCUCAACUCACAGAAGGGGAUGAUAUCAGUGCACUGCAGCACUUAUUUUACACAUACUACCACUACUACUACUACUACUACUACUCAUUAGCCAAAGUCACUCAGUUGGGAUGAGUGUGAGGUAGAGGUUUGUGGGGUGCUAUGUGGAAAGGAGUUUGGCUUCUUCUCAGGAGAUGGUAGCUUCUUUGCAGGAGUUGAAGGAGGCUUAAUCUUCUGUGGUGGAUUGAUUGUAUGAGUCUUUGGCACUCUCUUCUCUAGUACAGGUGAAUACCCAGGGGUGCAUCCAUAAUGCGGUGGCUUCUAUCCCUUAGGUGGUUUGCCAAAUUCAAAAUCGAAGGAUUUUUUUUUUUUAAGUAUACGUAUCUUUGAAAGCUUUUAUUUUGUAUGGCAAAUGGAAUGAGAGGAGCAGUCAUAUUCUAUUUGGCCAGAGCAACAUAUCACAAAUGAACAAGCUAUUUACUGCCACACUGGGCAAAACAUACAUAAUCCUUGUACUUCAAACAUCCAUGAAUUCUCAUCAUUUUCAGGACACGUUGCAUGGUCUAUCAUUCUAUAUGUCGGCAUAGUAAGUGCAGCUAAUAAGCCUAUUCAGAGCUGAAAUUCAAAAUCUAUUCACAGGAUAAUGACCUUAUUAUUGGAUUUUGCUCACUGUCAUACACACAUAUCAGAUAAAGCCCCACAUGCUCAUAAGCUACAAGCAACCUACAAGCACUAAAAUGAGUGUUAGACGUAUGAAACAUUCCCCAAUACUAGUAGUAUUACCUGUUCCAUAGAACACUAAAUUAGAAGAGAGAAGAUGUGAGACUCCAGCUUUUCUUUCUACAUAUUACUCAUAUCAAGUUGGAAUAGUUAGGCGGUAGAGGCUUGGGGUGGCUUGUGUAGGGGACUAGGCAGCUUCUCUCAGGAGUUGAUUUCGUCUUAUUCUGGAUGUCCAGGUUUCGUCCUUUCGAAUUUCCCAUGCAAAUCAGCAUUCUCCUUGGGAAACUUCACUCCGUUGGGAAACUUGUGUGAAUCUUUGGCAUUCUCUACCAGAGAAGGCCCAGGGCAGUGACCAUAAGGUGGUGGCCUUUUUUCAGGUGGUGGCUCCUCUCCCACUGGAGGCUUGUGGUAAUCAGCAAGAGAGGCAGUGGAGAGAAUCAUCACCCCAAGGAACAGCACUAGCAAGUAUUUGUGAGCCAUAUUUGGGAUCUGAUGAUGAAGACUAGAAGAUAGGAGUUGCCUCAUAUAAUGGGUUGGAGACUAUAUCUCAAGGGGACGUGUAUUUAUGCAUAUGAUCUAUAUAGGACCAUCCUCCUAAUAUUUUCAAAAUAAUGUUAUUGUCUCUCUUGGGUGACAGUUUGAUUUGGUCUAUUUCCAUGCCACUGAGUAGAAAAGUUUGACAAUUGGCUACACCACCUACCUGGAUUACAUGGUUGAAAGUGAAGAUCAGUACAGUGUGAUCACACUUGACCUCUUGUUCCCCAUUCCAGUAUCUAAUUAACCUGACAAAAGUAAAAGGAAAGGAAAAAGGGAAAAAAUAGAAUAAUGUUCAAAUAAAAACGAGAAAAAAUAGCAUAAUGUUGAUGAAUCAUGAUAAGCAUCAAGGCAUGAUAGUGAGAGAGAGGAAAGAAGACAGUGUAAUUUGCAAUCCUGAUAAUCAUUAUAUAGCAGUAACUUUAAUCAUUUUUCUAUCACAGGGAACAUGACACUCAUCUUCCUAUGGAGAUAUUGCAUAAGUUUUUUUCUUUGUAUGUCAACACUAACCAAUGAAGCAUGUUAGCUGGUUUGAAACUGAAACUGUAGCCCUCUGUUUGGUUCUUGAAAAACUUGAGAGAAAAUGGAAGUAAAGUUAAAAGGAAAGAAAAAGUGAAAAAAAAUAAAAAUAGAUUGAAAGUUAACAAAUUAUUUUUACAUGUUCCCUCAAAUUUCUUUCACUUAUUUUUCCUUUUCUAUAUAAAGAUUAAAUGAUUUAAAAAUCAUAAAUUUCUAACUAAUUAUAACUAUAUUUGAUUUUCUUUCAUAUUUUCCAAGAUAAAGUCAGACAUGAGAAAAUCAUUUUCCUUAAAAAAGAAAUUCUUUCCUUUACAGUUUCUUAGAACCAAACCUGGCACAAAAGUCCAAAUUGGGGUUUCUCCAUGUUCCAUUUUUUAUGGCUACCUUUAUGGACCAUAUAAUAUAGAAUGUACUUCUGCAUACCUUCAAGAUCAAGCUGAACUAUAAGAAAAAGACAAGCCAUGGCCCACGGAGCAGGGAUACCAAGCUGCCUUCUCCUAGAUUAAGUUCCAAGAUUUCAGUCUUCAAACCUGCUAAAAGCUAAAGGCAUGUUUCCAGCCUGCGGCAGAUAACAUGCACUGUCCAACAAUAAAUUGCAAACACAUUCGAUGCAGUUUAUUAGUACAAUAAGAUUAAAUCCACCAAAUCUUUUACAGUUCAACCAACACUUGAACUAGUAGCUAGCUUCACUACUGGGUAAUAAUAUAUAAACCAAACUCUUGAUAGGAACCAACCUAUCGCAGAUCGAACUUCUUACAUCCACCAUGAAUUACUGAACCAAAAGAAGAAUCGAAGAGACUGCCAAGGAGGAAAGCCUUCCUAUAACUAGAUAUUUAUAUUCCAAAUUAGGGAGAGCACCCACUGCCCAGGCCUCGCCCAGCAUAAACAGAUAGUAUACAUAUACAUGCAAAAAGCUCCAACCUUCAAGAUUUUAACUAUUAACUUAACACAAUUAAAAAUGUAUCCAAAAAGCAAAUCCCCUUGAACUCCUGAAGCAAUUACUCCAACCAAAUAAAGAUUUUAAGAGUUCCAUGUUCAUAUCCUGCAAGGAAAUCAUUCAAUGUUCAGACCUCUAAUUUCUGUCUUUCUAAAUGCCCAGCCAAAAGGCAUAAAGUAUCAUCCAAAUUGGAUGCACAGCAUAUGUUCUUAAAUCAUGGGAUUUCACCAUAAGUUACUACACUCUAACAGGGCCCAGAAAUUGACCUCCAGAUAUGCCUAUCAAAAAAUUAUCCCCACAUACAUUUUUCUGCUGAAAAGACAAUAUUGUUACAUUUGACAUUCAACCACUACUUGAACUCAACAACCAGGGAAAAGAAUAUAGUAUUUCUACCAAUGAGGAUGAGAGGGGCUGGUGAAUUAACAGGUAAAAGUUUGUUUUGGGUUCAUUGUUUGCAUAAUAAUGUAAAAAUGGAGUAGUAUAUUAUAAAUUAAUGUAAAAAUGGAUUAGCAUAACAUAAAUUGCCAUAAGAGAACCACAAACUACAAAGAAACUUAUUUUCCAAACAAGGAAAAUUAUUCAUAGCCAUUAUUACAUAAGAAAGGAAAUUGAUAAAAUUAUUAUCCAGUUCCCCAUCAGGAAAUAUGAAAGUACUCCUAAAAGCCUCAAUUCUAACCAGAAAACCAUAGAAAUGUAUUAGAAAUAUUGUACAGGGUUCUCUCCAAUAUUAGCUUCAGUUGCUAAGGAGAUCAGAACCUUGAAAGUAAGUCACAAAGGUCGUGUGGGUUUCCCAGAGUCUUCAACAACCAGUAUUCACAUAUGUACACAUUAAAAUUAAAUAAAGCAGGUAUCAAUUCCACAGGCUUUAAGAUUUGAAUUGCUUCUCCCUGGAAUCAUACACCACUCAUAUUGUCACUGACUUUCAAUUACUUCUCCCUGCGAUCAUAUGCCACUCAUAUUGUCACUGCCUUAGGGAACAAAGUGAAAAUCUGCAAUUUCAAUUAAUUCCAACAUAAAAAUAAAAAUCAAUCCUCAAAAAAUGGAUUGCCAGGAGGUAAAUAUAAUAGAAGACGAACAACUCUCACAACCAAGUUAAAGAAACCAGCCGCUAGGUACCUUUGAGUUCUAUACUACCAGGAACAAAUUGGAUGAGAUUAUUUAAAGGCUAUUCCACAGUGGAAAUUCAUUCGUUCAAAAAACAUUUGUCAUGCAUAUAGGCAAUCUAUCCUAUGCAUUCAUACAUCAUGGUCUCAUGCAAUCUUAAUAAAAGUGGUCCUGGAAAAAGAGAGAAAAAAGUAAUUACAAGCCUGUGCGACCAGAUUUCUUUUGUUUUUUUUUUUUUUUUCCUUUGCCAAACAACCAUGUUCAUAGUUUCAGAAGUUCAUUCUGUCUUUAAGAGACCAUGGCAGUGACUUGGCCAUUCAGCUAAGANNNNNNNNNNNNNNNNNNNNNNNNNNNNNNNNNNNNNNNNNNNNNNNNNNNNNNNNNNNNNNNNNNNNNNNNNNNNNNNNNNNNNNNNNNNNNNNNNNNNUCACCAAGGACUCCUCAACCUCAAAAUAAUAGAGAAAGUCUAGGACACCAUGUCACUACUGAGGACAACCCAACACCACAACAUUUCAGUCCGUUCAAAAAGAGUAAUUGGAAUUGUUGCAAAAAAUGUUCAACUAGUCCCAACAGGAGGCAAAUUCCUCCAUUUCUUCAUCGGGUCCGGAUCCUUUGCUCAAAAAGGUAAUUUUCUUACUGCCCUAAAAGAAAAAGGGAAAAUGUGAGUCAUUGGAUUGUUGACUCAGGAGCUUUUGAUCACAUGACUAGAGUGCCACAAUUUUUCAAAAUUAUACACCUUGUUUUGGGGAUGAUACAAUUCGUAUGGCUGAUGGUUCUCUCUCAAAGGUGACUGGUACAAGUUUUAUUGUCAUCUCUAAGGACCUAACUCUUGACUCUAUUCUUUUGGUUCCAAACUUGGAUUGCAAUCUAUUGUCCAUUAGUAAACUCACUUAUGAAAAGAACUAUGUUACUAAAUUUUUCCCAAACCAUUGUGUUUUUUAGAAUUUGAAUUCGGGGAAGACGAUUGGCAAUGUUGAAGUGUGUUUAGGACUCUAUGCCUUCAAAGUGAAUUAUUAUAUUGAAAGACAAUCUUAACCAACAGUUGGUGAAAAAUGGUGUCUUUUUGUCUUUAGUUCUAAUAAAGAUAGUGAUGUUAUGUUAUAGCACUAUUGUCUAGGACAUCCUAGUUUCUUAUAUCUCAAAAAACUCUUUCCAUGGUUUUCAGUGUGAAAUUUGUCAACUAUCCAAGCAUCUUUGCAAGCCCUAUCCAUAGUUUUAAAAGACUUAAGGCACACCAAGACGCAAAGUCCUCUUGGAGCCUUAGGCGCAAGGCACACCUAAGGCGCGAACUUUAGUAAAGUGAGGUGCAUCCUGUUUUACAUAUAUAUUUUUAUAUAAUACAAUCAAGUGCCCGAAAAUUUUCCUCUAAUUUUCCCCUUCUUCUUCAUCCUCUUCUCUUCUUCACAUUGUUCGGGAGGCUAGGACAUUUUUUUUUUUUUACAUGUCUAAAACAAGCAUAUAUUGGGUUUUGGAAGAAGAACAAGCCAAAAUGACAUCGUUUUGGAGCCUAAUCUUUUAAAUAAAUAAAUAAAUAAAUAAAAACCAGCCAAAAAUGACACCGUUUUGGCCCCUGUUCUUUUAAAAGAACAAACCAAACAACGUCAUUUUGAUCUCAGGAAAUUAAAAAAACAAAACCCUCGUCAUUCUCCCUUUGCUACUCUACAACUCAUCGUCAAAGGGUAAAAAGAUGACCAAAAGAAGAAGAAGAAAAAAAAAAAACGACGACAGAGGAUAGAGGUGCACCUGUUGAGGGCGUUGCGCCUAGCCAAGAGGCGAGCGCCUUGCACACUUAAUCAACGCCUCUGUGAAGGGGCGGCUCCUGCAAUCAGGCGAAGCGCUGAAGGGUGAUGUCACAUCGUCUAGAGCCUAGGCGCACCUUUCACAACUAUGACCCUAUCCAACUCAACCAUACAAACCAUCUCAUCUUUUUUCCAUACAUAGUGAUGUUUGGAGGUCAUCUAAAAUAAAGAACAUAACAGGGACUAGAUGGUUGAUGAUCAUACUAGAAUUUCUUAGAUAUUUCUAAUGAAAAAAAAAUCAAAAAUUAGUCAAAUUUUCUAAAAGUGGACCAGAAUUUCUUUAUUGAAUUAAAAAGUUGAAAUUAAUAUUUUGGAAAAGUUAGGGCCGCUCAAGAGGUAGAAAUAGCGCUCGAGUGGUAGAAAUAGCGCUCGAGUGGUAGAAAUAGCCCUCAAGUGGUAGAAAUAGCGCUCAAGCGCUAGGACCGCUCAAGCACUUAACUAGCGCUUGAGCGCUCAUAUAGAAUCUGCCAGAAUAUGGAAGAAUAUUUUUUGGAUAAUCAUGAAAAUUGGAUUUGGAAACUUUAGAAUAUCAAUCUCCUUCGGCCUAGAGGUUUAUAUAAACCCUAUUAUAACCCUUUAGGGUUAAGAAAUUCACCAAGUGGUUUACCCUAACUUGUCAUACCAUUCCCGAUCUCUCAUCAAGGAAUCAAAGUGUUUAAUCUUGGGUUGUUUGAAGACCUGCAUCCCUUCAACAAGGCUAAGGUGUAUUCACUAGAACAAUUGAAAUUGUUGCAUUGCGGACAUGAAUCAAGUUGCAGGUUCUAGAGAGUAAGUCUUUAGAAUAAAGCAGACAAAGAGUUCUAUGUGACUUUAUCUCAUAUAGUGGAUUUAGCUUUGAGGUCUUAGACCUCGUGGGUUUUUAUCUCCAUAGUUAGUGUGGGGGUUUUCCACAUAAAAAUUAUUGUGUCUCUUGAUCUUAUGUUUGAUUUUAGAUAUUCUAUUUAUCCCUGAUAUCUCACAGGUUAACUUUAGGUUAAAAAUUCAACUCCCUAUUUAAUAAUUUUUAAAAUACACCCAUUCACGAGUGUUAUCCUACUGGACAUUGGUUUUUCACCAUAUAUAACACUCAUACCAAAACCCAUGCAACAUGGACUCCAACCUUAAGCUUAACUUUCUACGAAUGGAAAAAAAAAAAGACAUAACAUAAAUAGACAGAUUUAACAACAUGCUCCUAAUCAAGGUGAAUGUCCCUCUUUUUGAAAGAUAUGACCUUUUCCAUACGAGGAGCUUUCUUUAAAAUUUCACCUCUACCAAUUCCCAUGCCUUUACAAAGUUGUGGAAAGCUCCAAAGAGAAGGCCCAGACAUGUAAUGGGUAGAUUCCCUACCUUAGAACCUUACACCAAAGCUAAACCCCUAAUAUUUGUGACUUCUAUAAGAAUCAAUUCAUUUUUUUCCAUAUUUAUUUCUAAAUCAGACAUUGCCUCAAACCACAUGAAGUUAUAACUUGGAUGUUACAGAUGCUCUUAAUUAGUGUCACAAAAAAAUAGGGUAUCAUCAUCAAACAAGAAAUGUGACACUUCCAUCCCCUCCUCCUGUCUUCCUCCCACUUUGAAACUUGAGAUGUAACCCCUUUUAUCUAAUUCUCCUCAAAAUUCAAUUGAAAGCCUUCAUUGCCAAUAUGAAAAUGUAAGGGGAGAGAGGAUCUUUCUACCUCAAAUCCCUUGAGCUCUCAAAGAAACUGAAUAGGACACUAUUUACUAGAAUAGAGAAUUGAGUAGUGGAAAUGAACCAUUUGAUCCACCUCACCCACUUAUGAUCAAAGUCCAUUUUAUCCAACAUCAUUAACAAAAAGUUCCAAUUUACAUGGCCAUCGUCCUUUCCAAUGUCUAACUUGCAAAUUACCCCACUAUUGGGACUCUUUAACCUUGAAUCUAGAGCAUCAUUUAUGAUUAGAACUGCAUCUAGAAAUUGUCUGUCUUCCACAAAAGCAUGCAAAUAAACUAAAACUAUUUUACCCACCACAUUUUUUAGUCUUUUAGCCAAGACUUUUUCCAAUAGCUUGUACAAAAAAACCCCCAACUAAGCUAAUCAAUGUAAAAAAUUUUAGGUUCUCUGCUGCACCUAUAUUAGGGAUCAAGACCAAGAACAUGACAUUUAAAUUUUGCUCAAAGGAACAAUUAUCAAAAAACUCCCCAAGCUCAUUUGCCAAAAUAUUAUAAUAAAUCCAUUUGGCCCCUACAGCUUUAUCCCCACUCAAGCUAGACAAGGCAACAAGAAAUUCCUCAUCAAAGAAAGGUAACUCCAAUUUCCUAGAAUCAGCACAUAGCAUAACUUCAAAGGUCAUCCCAUUAAUGUUGAGUCUCCACUCGCCCAUAUCAGAUAGGAGAUUUUGGAAGGCCCUAAACUCCCCUUCCUUUAUAUUUGCUUCCCAAGCAACCAUUUUGCAUUCACUCAAAUUUUAAACAUGAAGUUUUUUAUUCUUUGGGCAUUGACCAUUUCAUGGAAAAUUUUGGUGUUUUUAUCCACCCCCUCUUUUAACCAAAUUUCUCUUUAUUUUUGCCCCCAUACAUAUAGAUUCUUCUAACAAGGCCCACUUGCUAAACUCAAUCACCACUAACCUUUGGCCUCAACGAUUUCAAGAGAUAAGGUAACUGCUCUCUACUUUGAGUCCCAGAAGUUGAUCCAGUUUAGCACCUCUAGGUUUUUUGUUGAGACAUUCCCAAAACCUUCUUCAUUCCAAGAUUUUAAAUCUCGUUUGACAGCCUUUAGUUUAACUUCCAAAAUAUGACCAUACAAGCCAUCCACAUUAUAACCAUCAACCAACUCCUCACAAAAUCUUUUAAGCCUUUUGUUUUAGGCUACAUAUUUUAAAAUGUAAACUGUGUUUUCCCACUCCUUAUCCUACCUCCAUCUAAAACUAUGGGGUAAUGACCAAAAAUUGGUUUAGGUAAAAUACUCUAGAUUAAAGUAGAAAAACGAUUCUACCAAUCAUCUGACACUAGGAAAUGGCCAAGCUAGCCUUGAAGAAGACAAAAGAUUAUGAACACCACUCCAAGUGAAUAGCCCUCCAACUAGCGAAAGAUCCCAAGGUCAAGUCCUCUAUGUCCUCUGAAAAGAACCUCAUAUCAAACAACAUUCUAAGGCAAUUCCUCCUUUUCAUGGGGAACUUGACCAUAUUAAAAUCCCCUCUGAAGCACUAGAGGUCAUCCCAAAGGCCUCUUAUGGCACCCAACUCUACCCAGAAAUCCACUCUUUCUCCCCUUUAAACCAACCCAUAAACUCUUACGUAUACCUAGACAAAGCUAUCUUCACAAUUCAUAGACAAGCAAUAGAGAAUGCUUCCACCUCCUUACCAAUUAACUCUAAUACCCUACUAUCUUGGAAAACCAAAAUGCCUACUAUCAAGCUUCUAACUUCCAAUACCAUUUCAAAAAUUUUCCUACUCCUAAACUCCUUACCAGUUGAACGAACAUCUAUCGAACCUUGGUUUCUUGUUAACAAACUAGAUCAACCCCUUGAGACCUUAUCAAUGACUUUAUUAUCAUAUACUUUUCCUCAUCAUUUGCUCAUUUGACAUUCCAAGACAGGAUUUUUAGCUUCAUCAUGCAACCUAUGUUGGAUCCUAACUGCUACUCUUGGAGCCCUUUUCCUUUUUGUUGAGCUUUUAUAAUUGACUAAGCAUCCCAACUUGUUGAGGUCCCUCUCAAACCAAGAUAUCGAGGUUAACUUCCUCUUCACCUCCAACGAAAAAACAGAAACCCCUCUCCUUAGCCUGCCACACAAGGGAAAAGAUCUCUUUUUCAAAUCCAUCAACUGGCAUUCUUGAGAAACUAUUGAAAUUUGCCAACUUACAAGAUAUACAAUUGGAGGAGUGCUUCUCUACCAAACAACUACUAAAAUUCACCUCAAAGGUGACCUUUUCCCCUGAUCUCUCCCCGGCCUCCAUACCCACUGACCCUUUCACAAAAUUUUCUAGAAUUUCCACUAUCAAGCCGUUACGGAGAACCAUCCUCAACAAACUCCUUUGACUAAUGUGAAAAACCCCACCCAAGAGCAUCUUCCAGAAGUUAACUUACAAGAUUAACUAUAAUCUUGUGAAGACUCGUUACCUAAUGGGUAAAAAAUUUGAAAUUCUAUUAGUAUAAUUCUUUUUAGGCACAAAAGCUGUGAAAAUAGCAUUGGUGCUCUAAUUAAUAACCCCAUAAUUAUUAAGCAAUAAAACAACUUUUAAUAAAUUCUCUUUCACCACAUCCCACCAAUCCUAAUGCAAAAAAGCUAGGAAAAAGUCAUCAUUGCUCUAAGCAUUUCUCCUCACUAGUUGAAAGACUGCUUUAUGAACUUCCUCUUCGACAAAAGGACAAUCCAACCAAUUAGCACCAUUUUCCAAAAUGAGAGACCAACCCCCACUCUUCUAUCCUCUAAGGAUCUUCAUAUAACCAUUAAUGCCUUUCUAUACCAGCUAGUAUAUAUCGGGUUUUGGGCAAGUCCUAUAAAUUGGUUUGAGUAAGAUUUUUAAUUACCCUGUUCUUUCUUUUUAGUUGAUAAAUAUGCAUAUAUGUAGUAAUUCAUACAUCAGAAAAGAUUUUGCUAAAACAAAAGAAUUGACAUGCAGAUAGUGACUUCUUGAUAAGAGUAAUAGCUUAAGGGAGGAAAAUGAACUCCUCCAGUGGCCCCAAAGUGGUAAGUUCCUUCAGAUCCCAUGUUGCUAUUCUGCAUUUCUUUGUGUUUUGGCAUCAGCCCUCUUAAUUAAUUCACUAUCCAGCUUCUCAAAUUCCUCGGAUUCUUCCCUUGUUCUUGUGGAAACAUCUGCAUCUUGUCCUUGCAUUGUUAUGGAUUGGUGAUUAUCAUUCUUUGAGAACUGUGUGGCAGCUGCUCGUGCACCAGCUAUGGCUGCAAGGAGACCUUCUGGUUUCUUGUCUUCAGCAGCUUUGGAGCCAUCAAAGCAAGAAACAAGUAAUCCUGGUUUCAAAGAGAGGGGAUCUUGUGGUUCUGGAAGCAGAAACUUGACAGGUAGUGGAGCUUGAACAGGACGAAGACCCCUAACUGCUGCCUCAUAUAUCUGCAACAAUUUCAGGGGGGAUAAGUAAUUAAAAAUCAGUCACUCUAUUGCAUUAGUUAGACUUGCUUUCAAUGCGAUAGCAAAGAAAGAAUCAUCAAUGAAAAAAGAAAAAAUAAAUGAAAAAGAACAAAAAGGAGAGGGAAAAAAAAAUGAUGGGUGCUCAAUUUGUACUUUUCUUUCCAGGUUAUAAAUACGUUGGUACCCGCGCAUCUCAAAUGGUAUGAUUAAUUUCUGCAUCAGGUCAGGAGAACUAAGUCCAUCAAUAUACUAAAAAGCAAAUAUACCAAAAGGCAAGCAAAAAUGUUUAACCAUCUUGAGUGUCAAACUCUCCAAGAAACUAUAUACUUUUAGCUGAAUGAAAACACAUGCCUGUGGUUGCUCACAGAGCCAGCAAAACUCUGUUUGCGCUUCUAGCCUUACCUACAAAUAGAGUUUAGGUUAUCCAACCAAAAUGGAGAUACAUCACACAAAACAAACUGUACCUAAUCAGUUUACGAAGGGGACGGGGGGAAGCAAAAAGCAAAAGUAAAUUUCUAAGAUGCCCACCCCUUCAGGUACCUCCUUCCAGCACGCCAGCUCUUCACAUUUAACACAACCAACUACUUCAAUACAACCUGUGGCAAGAAUAGAGUUUGUUGGAUUUAUUGUAGCAUGCCAUACAGAAAAAUUUAGCAUUUCAGUAAGAAUAAGAAUAAGAGAGCUACUUUCCACUAAAAUACGAAUCACCCAUCAACUGUUGCAAACAGACAACAAUGUGAAUAACAGGUUUUAUAUAUAUAUAUAUAGAGAGAGAGAGAGAGAGAGAGAGAGAGAGAGAUAGAUAGAUAUAGAGAGAGAGAGAGAGUCAAAUAAUAAUAAAGGACAAAAAUAUUUCUUUGAGAAAGACUAAUUAGAAAGAAGAAACAAAGAACCCACAUGAAAUCAAUUUAGAUAAGAGAAAUACCUUUAAGAAUCUAGUUCUUUUUGCAAAUUGCAACUUAGAAUUGGAAUGCCACAUAUUAUUAUAAGGUAUCACAAGAGAUUAUUGCUUCAUUUUUUUUCUUUGCCAGAUCAGUUUUAAUAAAUAUAAAUAUAAAAAUAUAAGCAUGUACACACACACACGCAAACACAUUAUGUGUGUAUGUUUAUGGAUAUGUAGAUAUAGGUUUUUAAUAAUAGAGCAUGAAAACAUAUCUAGUCAGAAAUUCCAAAAAUCCAAAACCAUUAGCAACACCUAACAGUCUUGAAACUGGGUAAUGUUCUGGAAACUUGAGGUCUGCUAUCCCAUUCACAGCAUAGAUCUCCCUGUAGAAAUUCUCCAUUGCUUUGAUUGUGUCUGAAUCUGGGACCUUACUAGCAGCAUGAAUCCAGAGUCGGCCUUCAUAAAACAAAACAUGUAUAUUAAGAAAUAUCCUUGUAGAACAGUAACAUUUUUGCCAGCAUGCAAUUCGUGUUAAUAAUCCUUGGUUCUCACCACUCAUUGUACAUUACAAUGUAAAGACCUAAUAAGCCCUAAUAUAGGUAGGUGUCUGUGCAGAGAGAGAGAGAGAGAGAGGGGAGGGGGGUGAAAGGAAAGAUGAUUAUAGAACAAAUACAAGUUGAAUCUCCUGAAAUAAUGUCCAUCAAGUUAUUUCCUAGCAACAAGUACUGAUUAUGCUUUUCCUGAUAACAUGAUUUUCUUUGCUAACAACCAUACUAUAUUUUAUCAAGAAAGAGUAGUGCAUGUGGCGUGCAUCAAGACCCAUUAGAGUUCCGCUAAACCUAUAGUUCUGUCAACGUUAUCAUUUACGUUUCCUCUAGAUAAUGGCAUUUUCCUCUAAAACUCUUGCACCAUUAGGCUUCAAGUCAAAAUUUCACAUGUGAACUUUGGAAAUUUUCUCCAUUUGCCCCUAAGGAUACAGUUAGAAUUGACUUAAAAUCCUGAUUGAUGUAUACUUUUAACCGAAGAAUAUUGUAUAUAAUAAUUGAAAUAUUGUUGAUUCAUCGUGGAAAUACAUUUUGUAAGGAAAGUUGUUAAGAAUUUAGUAUGCUAUAUGGAGAAAAAAGUCAUGACUUAAGGUUGAGUAUGUAUAUUCUAUAUCAAAUAUUAGGUAGGAAUGUGGAAAAGAGCAGAGUGUAAUUAUAAGAAACAAAGAAAUAUAAGAUAUUCUUGAAAGUGGAAAAUGUAAAAUGGCUAAAAGUCAAAUUUAUGAUGCAUAAGGGGGAUCAUGUCACAUAAGAAACUCAUGGCAUACCAAAUACGUGUGGUAUGGAGUAACAAUUUUGUUAAAAUAAGUUUCUCGUUGGAGUACAUUAGGUGACAAUUUUUUAAUAUCAAAUUAAAGAGUCAAGUGCAUCAAUGAAGUCAUAUGUAGAAAAUUUGUUUGUGACAUGUACCAUAAAGAUAAGAUUGACUUGAUAUAAUUUAGUCCAGGUAGGAGUUGUUAAAGGUGUCUCAAAUUUCUAAUUGAUAUAUAUUUUUUUCUAAAAAAAUAUUAUAUAGAUAUUUCAAUAAAUGAUUAAUUCUUUGUAAAAAUACUUACAUAAUAAAAAACAUCAUUAGAAAUAUCUCUAUAAAUAUUUUAAAUCACAAAAAGAAAAAAAAAAUCACUAUGAGAUAAUUAUAAACAUGCAACAUUGUACCAAGUAAACAGAAAUGUGAUAAAAAAAUUUUGAGAAACACUAAAUAAAGGAAGGGCUUGUAUAUCAAGAUGUAAAUAUAGAGAGCAAUAUUUUUAAUCAUAUGAUAGAAUUAUUUUCUCUCAUUCAUGAUUAUAAGCAAAAUUGGGAACCAUUAUAAAAUCUUGUACACCUCGUGUAAAUUGAUGUUUGUCUUCAUAUUUUACACCAACAAAUGACAUUGAAGUUGUCAUUGAUAAAAGGGAAAAGGCAUGGCCUCCACACCAUGUGCUUGAAUCGUAUGGUUCAAGUUUAAAGAAUUUUCUCCAUAAUUUGAAGAUCUAAAACAUUUUCACCUUUAAAUUUCAUUUAAUUAUUAAUAUCUACAAAAAAUAGUUAAAUACUCUUUCUAUUUUUGAGUUGUUGAAUUUUUUGAAAGUUUUUAUAUUUGUUAUCAAGAAUUUAUAUUUUAUUAAGUGUGAAUAUUUAUAAAUAAGAUAUUAUAUAAUAUUUGGAUAAGAGAGAAUGGUGGAAUAUAAUAAAGUUUUAAUCCUUCCCAAUUUUUAUCUUUUUUUUUUUUUUUUUUUAUAAUCGCCUUUCUCUUUCAAUCCUAUUAUCAGGUACCUUAUAUUUGCUGAUGCUAUCUGGAACUAAAUUCCAAUCAGACAUUGUCCAAUUACUAAUAGGACAGAUCAUGUCUCUCUGUUUCUAAACUAACAUGUAUCGUAAUGUGGCCUCAUAAGGAAGGCUAGGAAGAUGGAGGAUUUUGUGGGAAGCGACCAGAAUCAGAUGGAAGAGAGAUAGCCCUGUUGACCUAAUGGCUGUAAUAGGAGAAGCGUGUGGAUUUAUGGGACUUAACUGAUACUAAACCUAUAUGAUGCUUGGAGUGGUGUUUCUUUCAUUUUGUUAAGAAAAUAUGGCAGCAUACAUCCUUUCAAUUGAGUGCAUCAGAGCAUCCAUAAUAGAUGGUCUGCAACCCUAGGUGCAUGCCACUUUCUGACUGAUAAUGAAACUGUCAGGUACUUGGCCUUGACUAAGCUCAACAGCAUCACAUAAAAAGAAGCUUUCAUACUUAGAUUACUGUUUAAAGCUUUUGCUUAUUUGCUUUCUUAAUGCCAUUAUGACAUUAUUGUUUCAAUUCUGCUACCGAUUUUCGAAGUUCUGGGCAUCUACUGAUUGCAUCAUUAUAUGAGAAGUUGCAUGAGUUUAUGUAUCCUGUUAUUGCUCCUUUGCGAUUUCACUGCUCACGGGACUAACCUCUCCAUUCAGUCGAAAUGAAUUGUAAUUUCUUUACUGGUAGCAGUAGUACUUUUCAUAGCAAAGAUAAUAGUAAAUAUGAAAUAUAAAUAGAAGGAAAUCUGAAUUGUAGAUGGCACUAUAAGUAACACUCAAUAUUCACUACAUAAUAAAAUAGACAGUGUUACAAAGGUAGAGAAACCUACAAUGAGUACUCAUCACCAUUCUCAAACAGAAACAUAGCAGCGACUUAUACAUAGAACCUAUAGGCUUGCAGGGAAAGAAGGGAAAGAGUAACAUGAUAAGUUCACAGCGGGUAGCAGCUCUUAUUUUACGUAUUACUCAAAAUCUCAAACUAACCAAAGUCACUCAGUUGGGAUGGGUAGGAGAUGGUGGUUUGUGGGGUGGCUUCUGGGUAGGAGCUGGUGGCUUCUUUGUUGGAGUUGAAGGAGGCGUAAUCUUCUGAGGUGGCUUGUAUGAGUCUUCGGCACUCUCUGCAGGAGGGUGCCCAGGGUUGUGACCGGAAGGAGGUGGCUUCUGUCCCUUUGGUGGUUUGCCUAAUGGGCUUGGUGGCUUGUGCUCCGGGAGUUGUUUCUCUCCCUCGAGUAGGUUUCGAGUUUUGUCAGAUGGCUUGUGUUCUGGUGGUGGCUUCUCUCCCUGGGGUGGUUUGCCGAAUGGGCUUGGUGGCUUGUGUUCGGGGAGUGGCUUCUCUCCCUGGAGAAGGUUACGAGUUUUGUCAGAUGGCUUUUGUUCUGGUGGUGGCUUCUCUCCCUGGGGUGGUUUGCCAAAUGGG